This 64492-nucleotide long non-coding RNA is filed under the name Triticum aestivum (bread wheat). RNAcentral describes it as "long non-coding RNA (TAES_LNC028374)". The record is from RNAcentral. Lineage: Eukaryota; Viridiplantae; Streptophyta; Magnoliopsida; Poales; Poaceae.
AGUUAUAUUAGGUAAGAUAUAUCUGUUGCACAUUGGUAUUUGGUAAGAUAUCAAUUACUUUUUUCGCAUGAAUGGUAGGAUAUUAAUUACAUGACAGAUUUCAUGGGAUAACGUUGAGUCAAAACGUGUUUAUAACCAAUGGCAGUGGUGGGUAAUUAGAGCGCUAAACGUGUUUGGUGCUCAACAUUGGAGUGAUUUGAACCGCUAGAUAACAUGAUUUGACGGCCGAGAUGGUUUGGAUAUGCCUCUUUGGGUCUUUUUAUAUUGGUAUAGAUAGAUAUAGAUGAUAACACAUUGGAUGUGUGAUUAGUCUAUUUUGCGGAUAAAGGAGCAACGGAAAAAAAGUACUGGAGUUGGGGGCAAGACUGCUAGAACGGGUAGCAAGUGAAGUGUAUGCAACCUCGCAAGGGUGGAGAAUAAACGUGGCGCGACUGGAAGCGUAAACUCUUCCUGGAGGGGCGGCUGGCUCACUUGUUCCUAUCUGUUUCUUUUGCUGUUUUUGUCUUUUGAGUUAUGAGGCCCUUAGCCUGGAUGAAUGUAAUGAACUCGGUCUUUUUGGACUUAGAACUCGCUUUCGCUGAUGUAGGUUUAUGAAUGCUGUCAGUGCUCUGUGGCUAUGCCAGCCUGAGCUGGGAAUAGCUCCAUUGCCGUUUCUCCCUUUUCGGUUUUUGGCUUGUCCUUAUAGUUCUGAAUGUUGUGGUUUUCAUUAAUGAAAAUUGGAGGGGUGCGAAAGCCCUUCUUUCUUAAAAAAAACCCAUCAAUGCAUAUACAUAAAAAACACCAGCAAAUAGCAAAGUCAUAUAAAACUAAAUUUAUGCAUAGGCGAGAAAAAAAAAUACCCCAAAGCAAUCAGAUCUAUGAUCGGCAAACUAUAACAAUGACCAUAGGCACACCAACCAUCUUAUGACACCAAACGGACAAUGAGGUUUUUCGACAACAACGCCUUCAAGAAGCGAGCAACGCUCAAGCAUUGCCAUCACCGGAGCCAACCAUCCAAGGCCAGAAUCUAUUUUUUCACCCCGAAGAAUCAGUCUAAGAAUAUCUGAGCAAUACCUUCAACAAGGUAACGAUGUAGAAACAUCGUCAUUGUCGGGUAUACGCAACUCGGGUCAGAUUCGAUCUAGGCUUUCACCCCGUAGGUCGAGACCGGGCGCUCGAGUAGCACCACCAUCGUCGUCAUUCAAGUAUUUGUCAGCUUGUCGCCAUCACUUUUCCAUGAUUCCAGCAGCUACUUGCGAUAUGCAACUGCGCAGCCGCACAACCAUCCCUUUGCGUCUCACCAUGAAGUGGACCACUGAAUUUGGAGAUCUUUUGGUGGUCAUCGCAAUCUGUAGCCAGACCACGCUGCAGGCCGAAGUGGUUCUCGGCAAAACCUCCUCCGUGCCGCACAAACCCACCAGAACGCGUCACCCCGCUACCACCCACCACGAGGGCUCUGCCCCGUGGCACAUAGCCAGCCCAAGGGAAGGUUUCAUGGAGGUGAGAGCGCUAGUGGCGUCCAUUAUGAGGCUCGCCCGAGUCACCAAAAGCAACGUCGGGCCGACCCGGUUUUUCAGGCGCCUACGCGCACGGCGGCAGCAGCCAAGGUCGGGAGCCAUGUAGCCGGGCACCUUCUGCGGACGAGCAGCAUAAGAGGAUAAUGUCGGGAUGAGGCCGGGCCAGACUAGUGGUGACACGAUGCGAGCUCUGCGAGGGGAUUGGGGAUUAGGUUUUCUUUCUCAAGAGAAAUAUAGAGGAGAAAAGAUUGGGAGGCAGCUCGACGCCAAACCCAUUAUCUAUGUAUUCUUAUAUAAUGUGUGAAAUAGCCAAGAGAGAAGAAGUGAGUUGCCAAAGUUAGCUCCAACAUUGGUAUCAGCUAGGUGACGACGAAGACGACUCUGUGAGACGCUCCAGCGAGUGAAGCCAAGGUGCCGAGCGACUCGGCUGCCACGACGAUGCCAUCAGCGCGGAAGCUCCCAUUCCCGUUGUUAACGAGGAUAAACUACACGAUGUGGAUGAUGAGGAUGAAGUAUCUGUUACAGCCAACGACGCUUGCGCCGUUGACCGCAAGGAGUCGUCCAAGGAGGUCGAUGAGGGCAAGGAGGAGAGGGCUGUGGAAAAUAUUGUAAACAGAUCGGGAUCCAAGCUUCUCGGAGAUUCCAAGAUAUUGUCCAGUCAUUUCCCUUUUGUGCACUCUCUUACUUUUACCGAAGAAAAUCUGACAAAGUAGCCUUCCGAGUCCUUGCAAUUCCUUCUUACAUAGUACUCCCUUCAUUUUUAUUUACUAAGUAUAUUAGAUUUGAUCUAAAUCAAGUUUAUAAUGUUUGGCCAAGUUUAUAGAAACAAUAUAAACUUUUACAAUUAUAUAUAUAUAUAUAUAUAUGAUUAUUCAAAAUAAUAUUGAUUUUUUAACACAGUACAGACGCAGCCGCUUAUACAUACGCAAGUACAUGCAUAUCCCUAUGUGCACCUCCGAGAGACUAAGCCAUCACAUCAACUGGAGAUUGGCGAAGUCGCUACAUAAGAUUUUGUAGUCGAUGGGAACGUCUCCAUGCACUGAAUGAGCAUCGAUGGAAGACCUGAAAUAAAUACAAAAAAAUAUGAUCACCAAUGUCAAGUCUAUGACUUAAACACCGAUGGAUUGUGGGAUAUAACUGUCCUCCUAAUGCUAUUGAUUUGGUAUUGUGGAUGUCCUAAUAUUGUAUGAACUUGGCCAAAGUUCAUAAAGUUUUAUUUGUGACAAAUUAAUAUACAUAAUAAAGUAUAGAAAAUCACGUCAUUCAAACUAGCUUAGCCUUGAACGUAACCAGGUAUUAUUGCUUAUUUGACAGCUUGUAAGGAAAAAAAACUACUACUAGCACUAAUCACGACACAAGGUAGAAUAUGGCUAGUAUUUUCGGUGCGCAUGGGAAAUGUGGAAGAUAGUGUAAACAGACCGGGAUCCAAAGCUGCUCGACGGUUCCAAAGCUGAUUCAAAGCUCGAGGAUGGCAUCUCGGCGCACGUAAAUUGUAGUUGAGCUUGGAGCAUCUCCAACAAACACGCGCGGUUGCGCGGCGCGUUAUAUAUUUUUUUGCAGCGUCCAAAUAGCAUUUUAGCGCACUGGACUAGUGUUUUGCUAUACCAGAAGCGCAAAAACAUGGCGCCCAAUCCGGCGGCCCCACCUGCAGCAGCCUAGAUUUUACAGUGCGCGCGAGCGGGCACACCAAAUAAGUAGCACGCAACGCCGCCGUUUUCCCCAGCGCGCUGAACCUACUUUGUUGCGCGCGAAAUUUUAGCGCAUCUGCUGGAGCGCCAGCUUCGAUCGCGCGCGCAAUAUAGUCAUUUCUUCCAGCGCGCAACUAAUCUAGCGCGUCUCUUGGAGAUGCUCUUACGAGAGCAUCUAUUUUUCAGGUACCUGAAAAGAUCUGAACCUUCAUAUCUUCAUUCAACAGCCCUAAACAGAUCGUAUAUUGUUCAUCUUCUUCUUCCUCUCACACGUUUUUUAUUCUCCUUCCUCGCCAAUGUUCUUCCUUCUCUCCGCGGCUUACUCAGACCUAACACCUGCCUCCACCCCUGCAGCCUGUGAUUGUUGCUGCCCCGCUCUCCCCUCGACCUCCCUCCAUCACCGUGCCGCCCCGCUACAUGAUUAACAACUCGGACGAUCUCCUACGCUCGCGCACGCACACACCCCACUCUCAAGAUAAUGGGGUUAUGACUUCCCUCUAAGAUGAAUAAUGAGGCUAUGACUUUUUCUUGAAGAUAAAUAGUGGGGUUGGUUCCUCAUUCAAGUGCGCUCGAAAAGAUGGAAGAAAGAACAAAAAAGUGGAAUUUCAUGGUACCAUGAAAUUAGCAAAAUCAGGCUGGUCAUAGUGUGAAGUAUCAUAUACUAGUAUCAUGCAUAUGAUACUAGUGUAUGAUACUACAUCCAUAGUGCAUAGGCCCUGUUUGGUUCAUAAGUCCUAGGACUUUUUCUAGUCCCAACUAAAAAGUCUCUAGUCCCUAAAAAGUCCCCCCUGUUUGUUUUCAGGGACUAAAAAGUCCAUAGUCCCUCCCUAGAGGUUUUUAAAUGACCAUGUUACCCUAGUAUACAGAAAAAUAACAACCAAACAACACCAUGGGAUGGCGGGGCAAUGGGUGCAAGGAGGGGCAUUGUUGAAAAAGUCCCAAAAAGACUCUCCUUAAGAGUCUUCUUCAUUUAAUCCCAAAAAGUAACUUUUAGUCCCUAGUAGUCCGUCAAAAAGUCUCUAAGAGUGACUAGAAAAAGUCUGUGGAAACACACACCCCCAUAGUAUCAUAGAUUAGUAUCAUAUGCGAUCUCUUUUAUUGCCAUGCAUGACAUAUAGUAACAUAACAUUAAUUAUGUUACGGUAUCCAGCUAUGUUACUAUAACCAUCUUUUUUUUAAUUGUCUGCCACAUAAGCAUAUUUACGAGUUGGCCAGCCUGCAUACACGGCCUCGUAAUACACGCACGCGGUAUCCAAAGCUGCUCGAAGCACAAGACUUCGCCACCAUGCAUACAUGCAUGCAUGCACAUGUGUGUGUCAGUACCAUUAAUGAGGUCAACUUGACGACGAAUACGAGUAACCUCGAUUCGAUGCCCUAAUGGAAAAGGAUUAUAGUACGUAUUAAACAAGGGUUUUUGUACUAGCGCCCGGGUCGCACGGUUUCCAUCGACACAGUGAGUAACGCUGAGCUAAGGUUGGAGCAGCUAGCCGAAUGCCGCACAGCACAAGCACGGCAGCAACACCUAUGAAGCCCUUCUCCCGGAGCCUCCAGAGGGACCUGGACGCCGCAGUCGACGACGAUGACGGCAAGCAGCACUUCGCCGACGACGGCGAUGGCAAGCAGAACACCGAGAGAGGCCUCCGGCGGCCGUCCCGGCUCUUCUACCUCGCGCUCCUCUACACCGUCUUCUGGGCCCUGGUAUUCUACCACCACUUCUCCACCAGCUCGCAACAAUCCGGCAAAGCGGCGGUGGCAGCACCCACCGUGCUCCAGCUCAAGCCGUCGGCGUUCUUCUCGCAGUCUCGCUUCUUCCGCCUGGACCCGUGCGGCGGCCGGUACGUGUACAUGUACGACCUGCCGCCGCGGUUCAACGCCGACCUCGUCCGCCAGUGCGGCCGGGUCCCAAUCUCCUCCCACGUGUGCAAGGACGUGUCCCACGACGGGUUCGGCCCGCCCAUCCCGGGCGGCGGCGAGGGCGGGUCGCUGCCGGAGCGGGGCGCCUACGACACCGACCAGUUCAUGCUGAGCAUCAUCUUCCACGCCCGGAUGCGGCGGUACGAGUGCCUCACGGCCGACCCCGCCGCCGCCGACGUGGUGUACAUCCCGUUCUACGCCGGCCUGGACGCGGCGAUGCACCUGAGCAACCAAGACCUCGCGGUGCGGGACGCCCUGUCUCGGGACCUGAUGGACUGGCUGGCGCGGCGGCCAGAGUGGCGCGCCAUGGGCGGGCGCGACCACUUGCUCGUCUCCGGGCGGGGUACAUGGGACUUCCUCCGCAGCCCGGACUCAACCGGCUGGGGUAACACGCUCAUGACCUACGACCUGGCCAUCCGCAACGCCACGUUCCUCAGCACUGAGGCUAGCCCGCGGCACGGCAACGACUUCGCUCUGCCGUUCCCGUCGCACUUCCAUCCCACUUCCGACGCCCAAGUCACCGGCUGGCAGGACCGCAUGCGCCGGCGGGACCGCGCGUGGCUCUGGUGCUUCGCCGGCUGGCCCCGUGCCCAGGGCAUCGGUAUGGGGCCUGAGCGCGCCGAGAUCAUGGAGCAGUGCGGCAACUCCAGCCGCUGCUCUAUGCUUGGCAAGUUGAACCACUACGUGCCCAUGCGGCUGCUCGGGAGCGCCGAGUUCUGCAUGCAGCCGCGCGGCGACGGCUACACGCGCAAGUCCACCUUCGACGCCAUCCUCGCCGGCUGCAUCCCGGUCUUCUUCCACCCGGUGUCCGCCUACCUCCAGUACACCUGGCACCUGCCCAGGGACUACCGGAGCUACUCCGUUUUCAUCCCUCACGGCGACGUCGUCGCCCGGAACGUCAGCAUCGAGGAGGUACUGCGUAAGAUACCGUCAGGGAGGGUGGCGCAGAUGCGGGAGCGGGUCAUCCAGCUUAUACCUACCGUGAUGUACCGGCACCCGGCGGCCAAGGAGGUUACGUUCAAAGACGCGUUCGACGUCGCUCUUGAGCGUGUCCUCCACCGGGUGGCCAAGCGCCGGCGUGCCGCGGCCGACGGACGGGAGUACGUGGACAGCGUCGACGGACGUGAUAGCUGGAAGUACGACCUGAUGCUAGAAGAUGGGCAGAACAAGAUAGGUCCGCACGAGUUUGAUCAAUAUGUUCACAUGAACGCAACCAAAGAUUAACUUGCCUAGUUAAUUGGGGAAGUAAAAAUUAUCCGCUGCCCAACACUCGCAUGCGGCGCGAUCAAACCGUCGUAUGAUGUUCUUCCUCAUCACCUGCUCCCUUGCAGCAGCGAGAGAGGAUUUUCUACCAUGCAUUCAUCAUUUUUUUUAUUAAGAGCAUCUUCAACGGACGCGCAAAAACUGCUCCGCACGCUAAAAACCGUUCUUUUUGGCGCGGAGACGCUCCAGCAAAUGCUGUAAAACAAUGCAUGUUUUCAAAACUUGCCAUGCGAAUGAACUGAAAGGAUGCAAUUUUCGGGACAUAAAAAUUGCCAUGGCACCACCAUACAUAUGUCAAAGCUUUGGAAUUUAGUUGUCUAAAAAACAUGUCAAUUUUUUUAAAAUGUAAAUUUACCAUGGUCCAUAAAGUGAAAUUGCCAUGUGCCAUAAAAGUGAAUUUUCCUUGGUCUAAAAAACCAUUAUGGAGGAAAUCAUUAACUGGUAGGUGCUCGGUUGGCUCGCGAGUAGGGAAUUAAUAGGCUAAUCGACAAGUUAAUCGGUCAGUUAAUCAAUUAAUCGGCCAAUUUUUCAAUUAUCGGCUACUCAGUGACCCUACGAGUAGGGAUUAAUCGGAAAGUUAGCUAGUUAAUCGGACGAAUUCUUGAACAUGAAAAAAACCACGACAAAUAACCUCUCUACACCACGGAAAUUUACCAUGUAUCUAUAAAAAGAUAAUUUGCCAUUGUCCAUGAAAUUUUCAAUGGCAACAUAUUAUAUUUUGCUGCCAUGGUUCAAAAAUUAUUUGAUUUGCCACCAGAACAAAACAAGAUGUUGAGUUACAUAAUCACAAAAACAGAAGACUUGCCAUGGCAAAUGUUGAGACAUGGCAACUAUUCAUAAACGAUAAACCAUUAACAAAAAUUAACGAAUUACACCUAAAAAUGUUGUCUGAUCAGUCCAUUCAUUUUACACAAGAUUGUCAUGUGCUAUAAAUCAAAUUUUCAUGAAUUUUUUGUGCACCUAUUUACAAGAUAUCUAAAUUUUCCAUGAUGAUGUGUGAGUUCCAUCGAUUCUCGUAGCAACUAAUCCAAUCACCAAGCAACCCUAAAAACAAUGGCAAAUUUGCGAUGGAAAAAAUCUAGAGAACACAAUUAUACCUAAAGUUUCAAUGAGACCAGUCCAUCCAGUUUACACAAAACUAGCAGGGUGACCCGCGCAUUUGCGCGGCUAGAUUUAUUAAGUAUUCUCAUAUUUGUCAUUUCAGAUUCAGGCACGGUCUCUACUACAAAGCUUUAGUCCCUAUUAUUUGAUAAAUAUGCACUUUGUACAUAACCAAAUCAUUGUACUACUAAGAGAUUUGUGAUGGAUAAAAUUGUACUUCUUACUUAUAUAAGAUAUAAAUGUCUGCACCUUGGUUACAUGUAUUAUUAGACAAAGUCAUCUAUGUACAGAGAGACAUAGUUCUAGACUUUUUUCUUUGUGUUCGUGACAUGCACGUUUCCUCAGCUGAGCCGGUGUUCAUAGUAACCCGGCAGGGGAUUUUCACCCUCUGAAGAUGUAUCUUGGCAAUAAAAAGUCUGGUUCCAGUCCUUACGAUGAUUGGGCGGCUUGGCAUAUGGGAAGGUGGCUUCUUUCCGCUUCUGAAGUGGAACUCCGUCUAGCUCCAAGUUGGGUCCGUCUGUGAAUUCAGUUUGCCGGUUCAACUAAUAGAAUUCCCUGAACAGUUCAACAGUGGGCUCUUGUUGAAGAUAAGCUAGCAGGGUGACUGACGCAUUUGCGCGGCUAGAUUUAUUAAGUAUUCUCAUAUUUGUCAUUUCAGAUGCAGACACAGUCUCUACUACAAAGCUUUUGUCACUAUUAUUUGAUAAAUAUGCACUUUGUACAUAACCAAAUAAUUGUACUACUAAGAGAUUUGUGAUGGAUAAAAUUGUACUUCUUACUUAUAUAAGAUAUAAAUGUCUGCACCUUGGUUACAUGUAUUAUUAGACAAAGUCAUCUAUGUACAGAGAGACAUAGUUCUAGACUUUUUUCUUUGUGUUCGUGACAUGCACGUUUCCUCGGCUUACACACUAUUAUAUACGUCGCCUUUGAUUUUUAGCAUAUCUGGUCCAUAACUCUAACCAUCAUUUGCUAUAUGAAUGUUUGUAGAAAAUUAUAAAUUGAUAAAACUAUAGAAAUAAUACAUGACAAAUUGAAUUAUAUUAUUUUUGGUUGACUAAUAUUUUUGUAUAUACUAUAAUUGCCUAUGUUGGUAAAGUUUGAGUGCACCCAUUCUUCUCAAUAUAUAGUUCUAUAAUUCAAUAUUGAUAUCUAACAGGACACAAAGACACAAAGACACAUUAUUAUAAUACUUACUAAAUAUUCUCAUGGUAAUUUAGAACAAAGAACAUAAUCUAAACAUGUAUUUUUCUUUCUCAACAGCCUUAUCACAUGUGCAAUAUUACAUUUACAAUAUAUUCGUUCCAUGUAAUGCCGUACAUAUGAAAUAUGUGCUAUCGCCCGCACAUCUAACAUAAUGCUUUUAUCUGGGCACACUCAUAAAAAAAAGUUAAAACUCGAUAAGUCUCCACAAAUAUUUUUAUAUUUUGUGAUGAUGUCCAUGCAUGUUAUUAGCGUCAAGUUGUAUUAUUUCGCACAGUAAGCAGAUUAUCACAUACUUGACUUAUUUGUGCUCCCAACUGUUAUAUUUGCUGGCAUAAGACUAUGUUACAUUAUUUUCAUGAUUCUCUAACUCAUAGACAUCGCACAAUAGCAAUGGUGGUUCAUUAUUCUUACCUUCUACUCCUCUUCAUCAUCGCUAUUUCCCCCCAUAUCCAAAAUGUUGUUUAAGCUAGCUAAAAUGUGCAUCACGACGAACAUGAUCAAACUGCGGUGGAAAAACAUGUGAGUAAUAGCACACACUACAAGAAAUAUGUCAACUUGUGACCUUCUAUCAGUGACCCUGGAAGAAAUGGUCAUAAAUCUACGACCAUUUCAGACCAACUAGUCAUAAACUGCUCGGGGGGACUCCAAACCCAAACCAUAAUGACCAUUUUGGUCAAAAAGGUCGUAAUUUCCUUACGCAAAAUGGUCAUAAAGCAGACAGCACUGGUCCGCUGCCUUAUUUCUAGCUGAUCACGACAAAUAUAGAUGGUCAUAGCCUUGUAAAUUGUGGUGCAUUGCUAUGACUGGGCGCCACCUCAUUAGUUUUGCCUAUGUGUCAUGUCCAUGUGUCAAUAUUUGCCCUAGGUUGUGAAGCGGCCUACAUUUCUGUCAUUCCCAAAAUUCCUAAAAAAUACUCAUAAAUUCUUUGGAUCAUAUAUUCAUCAAAUAUGUCCAAACCCUUCCGUCCCUAGUUCAAAAAUCAUUCAACAAUAUUCAUUUUCCUAUUCUGUUCAGAAAAACACUUUGUGAAGGAAGUGUUAUUUAUAUUUUCUUGAUUGCCCUCAAAUUUUUUUAGACACUCUUUCCUAUCCAAAUCAUUACCUCAUGAAAAAAUUCAGCUCCAUUUUCCUUGUAAAUCUUCCUCAGCAAAUUUCCAAAGUUUCCGUUCAGCUAGAAGCUUUGUGAGGGACGUACUAGCUAGGAAUAUCCGAAUGAGUUGAAUUUUUUCACAUAUUCUAUAUUCACAAAUAAUAGCUCUCCACAAAAUUUGAGCCCCAUCUAAUAAUCCAUGUGAGCUCACCAUCAAAUAUUUUUCUAGUAAUAUUUUAAGUUUGUGAAACAACUACAUUUUAUAUUGCUUUAUAAUUGCUGAAAAUUUACCAGGACAUGACCCUGACCAUAGAACCUCCCUCCACAAGAUUUAUCUCAUUUAAUUUAGCCAAUUUCCCUCAAUAUGUUUCCCAAUUUUCUGUUCAGUGGAGAGCAUUGUGAAGCAAGUACCAUUUUUAUUUAUCCAAAUGGUAUGUAAUUUUUACAGUGCCUUCAUAUGCCCUAAUUAUAAUCCUCCUCCAAAUUGCAGCUCAAUCCAAUCAUCUAUGUGAGCCUAGCUUCAAUUUCUAUUUUUAUUGGCACAUUGCAAAGCAAGUGCUAUCUAUACCCCUCCUAUUAUCCUCAAACUUUUUGGGCAAACUUCCAUAUCCAAAUCAUUGCCACAUGCCAAUAUUCAGCUCCAUUUGCCUAGUAAAUAUUCCUCAACAAAUUUCCAAAAUUUCUAUCCAGAGAGAAGCUUUGUGAAGGAAGUACUAGCUAGGACUAUCCAAAUGAUCUGAGAUUUUUCCAAAUCUUCCAUAUGCUCAAAUGAUCACUCUCCACAAAAUUUGAGCUCUAUCCAUCAAUCCAUGUGAGCUCAUCAUCUUUUAUUCCGGUCAUUUUUUUAGUUUGUGAAGCAACUAUAUUUUAUAUUCCUUAAUUAUUGCUGAAAAUUUACCAGGGUAUGUUCCUACCUAUAUAACUUACCUCCACCAAAUUUUAACUCAUUUCAUUUAUCUAAUUUCUCUCAAUAGUUUUCCAAAGUUUCUGUCCAGAGAAGAGCAUUGUGAAGUAAGUGCCACUUUGGCAUGUCCAAAUGGUAUCCAAUUUUAUAGUGCUUCACUAUGCCCAAACGACCAUCCUCCACCAAAUUUCAGCUCAAUCCAUUCAAUCAUUUGAGCCCAGCUUCAACAUCCAUAUUUCUGCCCAGUGUGGUACUUUGCAAAGCAAGUGCCACGUAGGCUCCUCCAUUUGAGCUGAAAAUUUGCCAAGACAGUAUCCUUAGUAAAUGAUCAUCCUGAGCCAAAACUCAGGCCCAUUGGCCAUGUGCGUUUCCCCCACCGCUAAUCAAACACUUGGCUGCCAAUUCAUGUUUGAGCAUAUAUAGUUCAGUCUCCUCGUGAGAUUCUUCUAUUGUAUUCUUCUUCCUAACACCUACCAAGGGAGUGUCCAACCCACCAGACAUGCCUGCCUAGAACGCAUGGCAACACCACGGUCACGCGGUCACCACGCGACUGGCAUGCCAAUUUACGCGCUCUAGAGUUGGGCCCCUCGGCCACCGUCGAAACCUCGACGUCUCAUCACCACACCAUGUAUUUCUGAUUAAAUAGAUACUUAUGUACCUAGAAAUGAUUUUUGGAAAAAAUAAAGAGCAAACUAUAAGGCAGCUACAGUUCAAAUUUGACCCGCUUCCUCCUAAAUCGACGAAAAUUUGUCUUUUUCACAAGAGGUGGACCAAAGCUUUUGACACCCAACCGAAGUUUUGGCCACUCUUUUUUUUAUUUCCUCACAUGGGACAAUAGUCUAGUAAUGAUGAUCAUCACACUUCUAUUUACUUACAACUCAAGAAUUACAACUCGAUACUUAGAACAAAAUAUGACUAUAUGAAUGCCUCCGGUGGUGUACCGGGAUGUGCAAUGACUCAAGAGUGACAUGUAUGAAAGAAUUAUGAAAGGUGACUUUGCCACAAAUACGAUGUCGACUACAUGAUCACGCAAAGCAUUAUGACAAUGAUGAAUCGUGCCAUAAUAAAACGGAACGGUGGAAAGUUGCAUGGCAAUAUAUCUCGGAAUGGCUAUGGAAAUGCCAUAAUAGGUAGGUAUGGUGGCUGUUUUGAGCAAGAUAUAUGGUGGGUGUAUGGUGUUGGGAAUCGUAGCAUAAUUUUUAAAAUUUUCCUAUGCUCACCAAGAUGCAUCUAUGGAGUAUACCAGCAACGAGGGGAAAGGAGUGCAUCUACAUACCCUUGUAGAUUGCGAGCGGAAGCGUUCCAAUGAACGUGGAUGACGGAGUCGUACUCGCCGUGAUCCAAAUCACCGAUGACCGAGUGCCGAACGGACGGCACCUCCGCGUUCAACACACGUACGGUGCAGCGACGUCUCCUCCUUCUUGAUCCAGCAAGGGGGAAGGAGAGGUUGAUGGAGAUCCAGUAGCACGACGGCGUGGUGGUGGAUGUAGCGGGUCUCCGCAGGGCUUCGCAAGCUUCUGCGAGAGAGAGAGAGAGGUGUUGCAGGGGAGGAGGGAGGCGCCCAAGGCUGUUGUGUGCUGCCCUCCCUCCCUCCCUUUAUAUAGGCCCCCUGGGGGGGCGCCGGCCCCAAGAGAUGGGAUCUCAAGGGGGGGCGGCGGCCACAAAGGGGGGAAGGGGUGCCUUGCCCCCCAAGGCAAGGGGGAACUCCCCCCUAGGGUUCCCAACCCUAGGGGCAUGGGGGGAGGCCCAAGGGGGGCGCCCCAGCCCACUAAGGGCUGGUUCCCUUCUACUUUCAGCCCACGGGGCCCUCCGGGAUAGGUGGCCCCACCCGGUGGACCCCCGGGACCCUUCCGGUGGUCCCGGUACAAUACCGGUAACCCCCGAAACUUUCCCGGUGGCCGAAACUGGACUUCCUAUAUAUAAUUCUUCACCUCCGGACCAUUCCGGAACCUCUUGUGACGUCCGGGAUCUCAUCUGGGACUCCGAACAACUUUCGGGUUUCCGCAUACAUAUAUCUCUACAACCCUAGCGUCACCGGACCUUAAGUGUGUAGACCCUACGGGUUCGGGAGACAUGCAGACAUGACCGAGACGCCUCUCCGGUCAAUAACCAACAGCGGGAUCUGGAUACCCAUGUUGGCUCCCACAUGUUCCACGAUGAUCUCAUCGGAUGAACCACGGUGUCGAGGAUUCAAUCAAUCCGUAUGCAAUUCCCUUUAUCAAUCGGUAUGUUACUUGCCUGAGAUUCGAUCGUCGGUAUCCCAAUACCUUGUUCAAUCUCGUUACCGGCAAGUCUCUUUACUCGUACCGCAAUGCAUGAUCCCGUGACUAACGCCUUAGUCACAUUGAGCUCAUUAUGAUGAUGCAUUACCGAGUGGGCCCAGAGAUACCUCUCCGUCACACGGAGUGACAAAUCCCAGUCUCGAUCCGUGCCAACCCAACAGACACUUUCGGAGAUACUCGUAGUGCACCUUUAUAGUCACCCAGUUACGUUGUGACGUUUGGCACACCCAAAGCACUCCUACGGUAUCCGGGAGUUGCACGAUCUCAUGGUCUAAGGAAAAGAUACUUGACAUUGGAAAAGCUCUAGCAAACGAAACUACACGAUCUUUUAUGCUAUGCUUAAGAUUGGGUCUUGUCCAUCACAUCAUUCUCCUAAUGAUGUGAUCCCGUUAUCAAUGACAUCCAAUGUCCAUAGUCAGGAAACCAUGACUAUCUGUUGAUCAACGAGCUAGUCAACUAGAGGCUUACUAGGGACACGUUGUGGUCUAUGUAUUCACACAUGUAUUACGAUUUCCGGACAAUACAAUUAUAGCAUGAAUAAUAGACGAUUAUCAUGAACAAAGAAAUAUAAUAAUAACCUUUUAUUAUUGCCUCUAGGGCAUAUUUCCAACAUAUGGUACCGGCAAAAGUUGCGCAGUACUAGAGAGGCUAGCAAUGGUGGAAGGGUGAGAGUGCGUAUAAUCCAUGGACUCAACAUUAGUCAUAAAGAACUCACAUACUUAUUGCAAAAAUCUAUUAGUCAUCAAAACAAAGUACUACAUGCAUGCUCCUAGGGGGAUAGAUUGGUAGGAAAAGACCAUCGCUCGUCCCCGACCGCCACUCAUAAGGAAGACAAUCAAUAAAUACAUCAUGCUCCAACUUCGUUACAUAAAGGUUCACCAUGCAUCCAUGCUACGGGAAUCACAAACCUCAACACAAGUAUUUCUCCAAUUCAAAAUUACUCACUAGCAUGACUCUAAUAUCACUAUCUUUAUAUCUCAAAACAAUCAUAAGGAAUCAAACUUCUCAUAGUAUUCAAUGCACUUUAUAUGAAAGUUUUUAUUAUAUCCCUCUUGGAUGCCUAUCAUAUUAGGACUAAAUUUAUAACCAAAGCAAAUUACCAUGUUGUUUAAAAAGACUAAAAACAAUAUAAGUGAAGCAUGAGAGCUCAAUAAUUUCUAUGAAAUAAAACCACCGCCGUGCUCUAAAAAGAUAUAAGUGAAGCACUUAGGGCAAUAUUGCCUAGCUCAAAAGAUAUAAGUGAAGCACAUAGAGUAUUCUAAUAAAUCAUGAUUCAUGCGUGUCCCUCUCAAAAGGUGUAUACAGCAAUGAUGAUUGUGGCAAACAAAAAAGCAAAGACUCUAAUCAUACAAGACGCUCCAAGCAAAAUACAUAUCAUGUGGUGAAUAAAAAUAUAGCCUCAAGUAAAGUUACCGAUAGACGAAGACGAAAGAGAGGAUGCCUUUCGAGGCAUCCCAAAGCUUAGGCUCUUGGUUGUCCUUGAAUAGUACCUUGGGGUGCCUUGGGCAUCCCCAAGCUUAGGCUAUUGCCACUCCUUAUUCCAUAGUCCAUCAAAUCCUUACCCAAAACUUGAAAACUUCACAACACAAAACUCAACAAAAAAUCUCAUAAGCUCCGUUAGUAUAAGAAAAUAAAUCACCACUUUUGGUACUAUUGUGAACUCAUUAUUUAUUUAUAUUGGUGCAAUAUCUACUGUAUUGCAACUUUUCCAUGGUUCAUACCCGCCAACUUUUCCAUGGUUCAUACCCGCCAAUGUCUAUGGUUAGGAAACUUAACCAUCUUUGAUUAACGAACUAGUCAAGUAGAGGCAUACUAGGGACACUAUCUUUUGUCUAUGUAUUCACGCAUGUACUAAGUUUCCGGUUAAUACAAUUCUAGCAUGAAUAAUAAACAUUUAUCAUGAAAUAAGAAAAUAAAUAAUAACUUUAUUAUUGCCUCUUGGGGGGACAGCCCAAGAAGUUCUCACACAUUGAGAUGAAGGCAGCAAGAUAUGAUAUUGCAUUUGGGGGAAGAUGAUGGAUUUGUGUGCCAAAAAAAAUUCAAGAACCGCCGGAAGAAUGGAUGGGGGGCAAAGAAAAACCUCUCUCCAUGUGAGUGAGGAGAAGGACCUGCUCCUCAGGGCACGGCGCAGGCUCGAUCUCCCCCUUCGGCAGCCUCCAAGACCCGGGAACUAGCAGGCCAUCGGCGGUGAGCCCCUCGAAGUCCUCCUCCAUGACCGUCAAGGGCAGCCAGUCGCCCUGGAUCCAGCCCGGUGGCAGAGUGGGCUGGGAGCUUGACCCCUUCUUCCCCUUGGCCGCCUUCUUGGCGUGCUCCAGCUUCGCCAUCUUGUCCUUCACCAUCUCCGCGGAGGUCCUCAGAGCCGAGCGGGGCGGCGCGGCGCAGGGGCGGAAGAGGCGGAGAGAUGAAGUGGAGAGGGGAAAAGACGAUAGCACUGUUGCACGCUUCGGCUUCGUCGUCCUUUAUACCCACACGUCCGAGUGACUGGCCUGUGGGCCAGCGCGAUCUCAGCGCAUCCUGCAACUAACGCCAGCCUGAUACAUGGCGAAAAAGGUGGAGCAAAGAUCGAGAAGUUCCUCCCCACUUGCCCCACUUACCGCGCUACAGCCGGCCCGCGCCCUUCUCCAAAUUUUCGAAUCCCAUGAUAUCCGGAUCCAGCAAAUCAAUCGAUUGCGUCAGAGAUAUCCAUAUUCACUCGGGUCGACGUUCUACUACAUGUUUAACUCCAACAUUCAAGAAGCCAGAAUCGACCAAGGCGACUGACGGAGGAUUAAGCAGCUCGCAUACCUUCAGACUCUUGAAAAACGUCUCCGAGGCAUUGAGUCGGGUUGAAAUUAGCUCCAAUCCAUCCUCACUCGAACCUCGAUCCAUUCGGGGGCUAAUGACGAUGACAUGUACCUAGGUUAGGGUCAUAGUCCUGACCUACAUGCCCUACCCAAGGACACGAUACAAAGACUCCAAGGCCUACUAAGUUAGAAAGGAGGUACCGACUGGAAUGACUGCAAUGUGCAAGUCACUCGACAGUGGAUCCACUCGGUUAACUCCACCCCCCACUCGACCGUCGUCAUUCACUCGGAACAUCUAAUUUCACUCAGAGAAUAGAAGACCUAGAGCCACCCCAGGAUGGCAACGGUCAGGCGAUCACUCCCUCGCUAUAAAGAUCAUUCAUUAUGGGCGUUUCCAGUAACGUUCUCAUCUUUACUUUCUCCUUGAACCCUUGCGUAACUGAGGGCAACGAGGGGCCAGCGGACUCUAUAUAAGCCGCCCCUCUCCUUCAUCACAAGGGUUCACACCCCCUGUAACUCAACCACUCCAAAGAAACAAAGCUCCCGCAGCACCGAGACAUAGUUUUACCUCCUCCGAGAGGGGCCUGAACUCGUAAAUCCGAGUGUACAAUCUCGCCGUAGCUAGGCUCUGCCCUCUCCUACGUACCCCUACUUCUACUGUCAGAUCCGUUCCCAUGACAGCCACCAUUUUUCCAUGAUCCCAACAGCUACAUGAGAUGUGCCACUACGCAGCCACAUAGCCAUCCCUCUGUGCCAGGCCAUCGUCAUAGUUUGCAUCUCACAACCGAAUCUGGAGAUCUUUCGCUGGUCAACGGAAUCUGUAGCCAGACCACGGCCGCAGGCCGAAGUGGUUCCUGGCAAAGCCUCCUCCACGCCGCACAAACCCACCAGAACGCGUCGCCACGCUACAACCCGCCGCGAGGGCUCUAUCACGUGGCACAUAGGAAGCGGCAAGGGAAGGAUUCAUGGAGGUGAGAGCGCUAGUGUUGUUUGUCUUGAGGCUCCGCCUAAGUCACCAAAAGCGACGCCGGGCCGACCAGGUUUUUCAUGCGCCUACGCGCACGGCAGCAACAACCAAGGUCGGGAGCCACGUAUUCAGGCACCUCAGGCGGACGAGCAGCACAGGAGGAGGAUGUCGGGACGAGGCUGGGCCAGACUGGUGGCGACAUGAUGCAAGCUCUGCGAGGGCAGUGGGGGUGGUGGGACAGUUCAUGGCUGCGCACGAGAGGACCUGCUGCGGCCGACCAACACGAGAGGCUUUGCUCUGGUGGCCCCGCCCGGCGGUGGCGAGGGAGAGGCAAGGCCGAGAGACGCUAGAGAAGCAGCGGUGGCGCCACCACCCGUGUCGCCCUCGGUGACGACGUGGAGGCUAGGUUUCCUUUGUCAAGGGAAAUAUAGAGGAGAAAAGAUUGGGUUGUGUGAGGCAGCUCGACGCUAAACCCAUUAUCUUUGUAUUCUUGUAUUGUGUGAAUAUCCAAGAGAGAAGAAGUGAGUUGAGAGAGUUAGCUCCAAUAUUUAGUAUCAGCUAGGUGAUGAUAAUGACGACGCCGUGUGACGCUCCAACGAGUGCAACCAAAGUGCCGAGCGACUCGGCGGCCAUGGCGGUGGCCACGACGAUGGUAGCGGCCGGGAAGCUCCCAUUCCCACAGUUAACCAGCACAAACUACACGGUGUGGAUGAUGAGGAUGAAGUAUCUCUUAUGAGCCAACGACGCAUGCGCCGUUGACCGCAAGGACUUGUCGAAGGAGAUCGACGAGGGCAAGGGGGAGAUGACUAUGGAAAAUAUUGUAAACAGAUCAGAAUCCAUGGUUAUAAUGAUGAAAAAUAUUCAAUGAUGAUUCUAAUGCUAUUGAAUUUUUUUAACGCAAUACAGACGCAGACGCUCAUACAUUCGCAAAUAAAAUCAUCCUUAUGAACAUAGGCACACCCUACCCCGAUGAGCACCUCCGAGAGACUGAGCCGGCACAUCAUCUUGAGAUUGACGAGAUCGUCACGGACACUUUUGUAGUCGACGGGAACGUCUACACCCACUGAACGCACAUCACCGGAAGGCCUGAAAUAAAUACAGAAAAAGUAUGAUCAUCAAUGUCAAGUCGGGACUUGAACACUGGUGGGUGAGGGAUACAACUGUCCUCCUAAUGCUAUUGAUUUGGUAUUGUCGAUGUCCUUGGCCAAAGUUCAUAAAGUUUGAUUGGUGACAAAGUUAAUAAACAGAAUAAAUAUAGCAAAUAAAGAGAGUAUUUGACAGCUUGUAAGCAAAAAAAAAAAACUACUAAGCACUAAUCACGACACAAGGUAGAAUGUGGCUAGAAUUUCCGGUGCGCCUGGGAAAUGUGCAAGAUAGUGUAAACAGGCCGGGAUCCAAAGCUGCUCGAUGGUUCCAAAGCUGCUCGACGGUUCCAAAGCUGAUCCAAAGCUCGACGAUGGCAUCUCGGCACAGGUAAAUUAGUAGUAAUAAUUAAACUUAUGGGAGCGUCUAUUUUUCAGGGGAGAAUUUCCCGACAGAAACCAAUAUUCAAUGAAAACUUAGUGAAAACCAUACUUUAAAGUUAAAGAAACUGAAAAAAUACGGAAUGUUAAGUGGGUGAUGUUUAUUUGCCAUGCAAAAUUUCAAGUAGAAACACAUUAUGAAAUGUGAGCUAUAAAAAAGACAAAAUGUCACUAUUCAACGCUGAUUUUCUCUUUUUCAUAGCUCACAUCUCGUAAUGUGUUUCAAAUUAAAAUUUUGCAUGGAAAUAAAACAUCAUCCUCUUAACAUUCUGUAAUUUUUCAGAUUUUUUCAGAACUUUAAAACAUCUUUUUCUCCUGGUUUCGUCGAUUUCCAUCGAAUAUUUUUCCCAUAUGAUAUUCUCCCAUUUUUCAGGUACCAGCCGGAAAAUCCGGACUGCCACAUCUUCAUCCAACAGCCUGAAACAGAUCGUGUACUUUUCAUCUUCUUAUGCCUCCCCACGGCCUACUCACACCUAACUGCCUACCUACACCCCUGUGGCCGGCAAAUGUUGUCGCCCCGCUCUCCUCUCGACCUCCCUUCAUCGCCGUGCUGGCAGCCGCCCCGCUCCAAGAUGAACAACUCCGACGAUCCCCCACGCGCGUGCCCACACACACCCCACCCUAAAGAUGAUGGGUUGUGGCUUCCCUCUAAGAUGAAUAAUGAGCCAUGACUUUCCAUUAAGAUAGAUAGUGAGGUUUGUUCUUCAUCCAAGUGUGCUUGAAAAGAUGGGAGGGAGAACAAAAAAGUGAAAUUUCUAGGUACCAGGAUAUUAGCAAAACUGUGAACUUAUUAGUACAUGGCCUUGUAAUACAAGGAAAUGCAACUGGUGCAGCAGCUAACCGAGUGGCUUUAGGCUACUCAUAGUGGGAAGUAUCAUAUACUAGUAUCAUGCAUAUGAUACUAGUUUAUAAUACUACCUUCAUAAUGCAUAGUAUCAGAGAGUAGUAUCAUAAAUUAUCUUAUUUAUUGUCAUUCAUGACACAAAGUACUCCCUCCGUUCCACAAUGUAGUGCCUAUAGAUUUUUUCGAAAGUCAAACAUUACAAAUUUUGACCAUAUUUAUGGAGAAAAGUAGGUACAUCUAGAAUACCAAAUGCACAUCAUUGGAUACAUCAUAAGUUAUAUUUUCAGAAUGUACAUUUGGUCAAAGUUGACAAAGUUUGACUUUCAGAAAAAUCUAUAGACACUACAUUGUGGAAUGGAGGGAGUAGCAUACCAUUUAAUAUGAUACGGUAUCUACCUAUGUUACUCUAACCCUCUCUUUCUUCUUUAAUUCUCUACCACAUCAGCAUGUUUGCUAUUCCCAAAUGCAUGAUACUAGCUAAGAUACCACCAUUAGAAGCCUGUGUACAAGCUCGUAACCAAGGGCGAGAUCUUGCUGGCGAAGGUAACGAAAUUAUCGUUGCAAAUGGGGUCCUGAACUAGCCACGCGGGAUCCAAAGCUGCUCGAAGCACAAGACUUUGCCACCGUGCAUACAUCCAUGCAUGCACAUGCGUGUGUCUGCAGCACCAUUAAUGAAGUCAACUCAUCGACGAAUACGAGUAACCUCGAUCGAUGCCCUAAUGGAAAAAGAUUACCAUAUUAAACAAGGGUUUUGUACUAGCGCCCUGCCGUCUGCCGAUACACAGUGAGUGACGCUGAGCUAACGUUGGAGCAGCUAGCCCUAGCCGAAUGCCACACCGCACAUGCACGGCAGCAACACCGAUGAAGCCCUUCUCGCGUAGCCUCCAGUGGGACCUGGACGCCGCAGUCGACGACGAUGACGGCAAGCAGCACUUCGCCGACGACGGCGAUGGCAAGCAGAACACCGAGAGAGGCCUCCGGCGGCCGUCCCGGCUCUUCUACCUCGCGCUCCUCUACACCGUCUUCUGGGCCCUGGUAUUCUACCACCACUUCUCCACGAGCGUGCAACAAUCAGGCGGCGCGGCGGUGGCAGCGCCCACCGCGCUCCAGCUCAAGCCGUCGGCGUUCUUCUCGGCGUCUCGCUUCUUCCGCCGGGACCCGUGCACCGGCCGGUACGUGUACAUGUACGACCUGCCGCCGCGGUUCAACGCCGACCUCGUCCGCCAGUGCGGCCGGGUCUCGGCCUCCUCCGACGUGUGUAAGGACGUGUCCCACGACGGGUUCGGCCCGCCCAUCACGGGCGGCGGCGAGGAAGGGUCGCUGCCGGAGCGGGGCGCCUACGACACCGACCAGUUCAUGCUGAGCAUCAUCUUCCACGUCCGGAUGCGGCGGUACGAGUGCCUCACGGCCGACCCCGCCGCCGCCGCCGUGGUGUACAUCCCGUUUUACGCCGGCCUGGACGCGGCGAUGCACCUGGGUAACAAAGAUCUGGCGGUGCGGGACGCCCUGUCUCGGGACCUGAUGGACUGGCUGGCGCGGCGGCCAGAGUGGCGCGCCAUGGGCGGACGCGACCACUUCCUCGUCUCCGGGCGGGGAACAUGGGACUUCCUCCGCAGUCCGGACUCAACCGGCUGGGGUAACACGCUCAUGACCUACGACCUGGCCAUCCGCAACGCCACGUUCCUCAACACCGAGGCCAGCGCGCGGCACGGCAACGACUUCGCCGUGCCGUUCCCGUCGCACUUCCACCCCUCCUCCGACGCCGAGAUCACCGGCUGGCAGGACCGCAUGCGCCGGCUGGACCGCGCGUGGCUCUGGUGCUUCGCCGGCUGGCCCCGUCCCCGUGGCAACGGCAUGGGGCCCGAGCGCGCCGAGCUCAUCGAGCAGUGCCGAAACUCCAGCCGCUGCUCUCUGCUCGGCAAGCUCAACCACUACGUGCCCGGCCACGCCAUGCAGCUGCUCGAGAGCGCCCAGUUCUGCAUGCAGCCGCGCGGCGACGGGUACACGCGCAAGUCCACCUUCGACUCCAUCCUCUCCGGCUGCAUCCCGGUCUUCUUCCACCCCGUCUCCGCCUACCUUCAGUACACCUGGCACCUGCCCAGGGACUACCGGAGCUACUCCGUGUUCAUCCCUCACCGCGACGUGGUCGACCGGAACGUCAGCAUCGAGGAGGUGCUGCGUAAGAUACCGCCGGAGAAGGUGGCGCGGAUGCGGGAGCGGGUCAUCCAGCUUAUACCCACUGUGAUGUACCGGCACCCGGCGGCCAAGGGGGUUACGUUCAAAGACGCGUUCGACGUCGCCCUUGACCGUGUCGUCGACCGGGUGGCCAAGCGCCGGCGCGCGGCGGCCGAGGGACGGGAGUACGUGGACAGCGUCGACGGAGCUGAUAGCUGGAAGUACGACUUGCUAGAGGAUGGGCAGACCAAGGUAGGUCCCCAUGAGUUUGAUCAAUAUCUGUAACCGCGCGCAGAUUAGUUUACUCCAGUACUUCGUUCUUUUUUUGAACUGAUUUACAUGGGUGGUUUUUUUUAGAUAGAUUUACUUUUUUUUUUAGUAGAGAUGGAAAACAAGAAAAUGUUUUGGUUGAUUCUAUCCAAGCCAUACGAUGCAAAUUCAAGGAAUGUCAUCCUUUUACUGUUCAUCUUCAACCUCGUGCACCUCCUCUUUUUCCUUCCAUAGAGUGGGCAGAAUUUGCUAAUGUGUUUGGGCAUAAUAAAGAGGAGGCAAGAAUUGCAAGUUCCCGGGGAGUCUCUAGGAACUUAUUGUUCAUGAUCCUGAGACUUUGAGGGAAAAAGUUGAAAUCCUGGUUGAGUUGCGUAAUAUAUAUGUAUGCUGAUGAGGAACUUCGUUGGUUUGAAAUGACUAGUGAGAGAUGGUUGCUCCAAGGGGAUGAUAAUAGUGCUUACUUUCAUUAAUUAGCUAAUGCUAGCAAAAGAAAAAGAAUUGAUCACUUUCUUGAAUGUAGUGAUGGUCUGAUUGAGGGUACUGAUGAUUUGAUUAAUCAUGCAAUUGCUUAUUAUGAGAACCUUUUUGGUCCUGCUCCUGGUAAUCUCUUUCCUAGAUCUCCGGACUUGUGGGGUGACAAUAAGAAAAUUAGUGAAGAUGGCAAUGCUGCUCUGACUAGACCUUUAUAAAUGCCUUGUUUGCUAUGGACUCUAAUAGGGCCCCUGGACCUAACAAAUUCCCCAUUGAGUUUUAUCAACACUGCUGGGAGUGGUUAAGGACGGUUGGAUCCAAGAAUUAUGCUUUGUUAUAAUAUGCAAGAAUAAACAUACAACAGUGAAAAAAUAAAAAAAAAUCUAUUAGUGGCAUUGGUAUUUGAUUCAUGAGGUCUCUACUUCUUAAAGUCAAAAUAAUGAAUUUUUGUAAGAAAAAAAUGAAUUUUCAACGUUGGGAUUACCCUUUAAAAAUAAAAUAGACAAAAUUUACACACAAUUUUACGCAAGAAUAGCGGUUUUCAUAAUAUGAAAGAAUUAACUUAUAAUAGUGGAAUUUUUGCAAAGAAGAAGAUUUUCUAAGAAGCAAUUAAUUAGUGGUGUUGGUAUUAAUCUUCAAGAAAAAUUAGAUGAAAUAAAAACUAAAACAAAUCAAUAUAAUUAAGUUUUCCAAGGAGGAAUGAAUUAGUCGCACGGUAUUACCCUCUAAGAAGAAAGAGAAGGGAGAAAUAAGCAAAUCAUUACAAAACAUGCAUGCAAUUUGCAGAGAUAUUGCUUUUUUAUAAUAUGCAAGAAUAAGCAUAUAAUAGUGAAAUUUAGCAAAAAAAAAGGAGUUUCUUAAGAAGGACUGAAUUAGUGGCAAUGCUAGCUACUACUUUAAAGAAGAAAGAAAAUGGGAUGAAAACUUAAACAAAAUAGAAAUAAUGAAGUUUUCUAAGACAAUAAACAAAUAAUGAAUUGUUUAAAAAAGUAGAUAUAAAUCAUGCAUUUUUAUAAUAUACAAGAAUAAGAAUAUAAUAAUGGAAGUUAACAAAAAAGGGAAGUUUCAUAUAAAGAAAUGAUUUUUUGCAUUGGUAUUACCAUUAAAGAAGAAAGGAACUAAAAUAAAACAAAAAAUGGAUAUUUAUAAAAGGAAUGAAUUUGUUGCUUUGGUAUUACCCUUUAAGAAAAAAUGAAAGAAAAAUAAAAAAAAUCAAAAUAAUGAGAUUUUCUAAAGAAGAAAGCAUGAACUAGUGACAUCGGUAUUACUCUUUAAGGGAAAAAAUAAAAAUAAUGAGGUUUUCGAACGAAGAAUGAAUUAGUGGCAUCAGUAUUACCCUUCAAGAAAAAUAAUCAAAAUAAUGAGGAUUUUUAAGGAAGAAUGGAUUAUUGGCAUUGGUAUUACCCUUUAAGAACUAUGGAAAUAAUAAAAUUUAAAGUAAACGAUGACAAAUUUGACAAUAUACCAAAAAUAUGCAAGAAUAUACAUAUAAUAGUGAAACUUCCAAAAAUCAAAUCCUAUGAAAGAAUGAAUUUGUGGCUGUAUACGCUUGAAGAAGAAAGAAAAUGAAAUGAUAAAUAAAAAAAUUAAAUAAGGAAAAAUGAACUAGUGGCAUUAGUACUACGCUUUAAGAAGAAAUAUAACGAUUUUCUAAAAAAAACUUGCACACAACUUUGCUCUAAAAUUGCAUUUUCCUGUUUGUAUAUGCAGACAAUAAUCAUUUAAUAGCGUAAUUUUUGUAGAUAUUUCGUAAUAUUUGUGUGUAUACAUUUACACUCAUCCAAUGUAUAUGUUUGUAUUACUCUUUGAGAGUUCAGCUAUCGUUGAGUCACUUGUGAGCUUAUCUGGAACCUCUUUUAUUUGUUCCCAUUGUUUGUGGCGAUUAUGUAUGAAUUUAAGGGCCUCAAUUUAAGGCUAGGCAUGCACCUUUUAUUAUCUACAAAAGUUAGAGUCUUCAUGAGGAGACACGUGUGAGCAGAUCUCCCUCGUUGAUGCCUCUUUCGCACCCAGGGGCGGACCCACGUUCAUGGGAGUGGGGGCCUAGGACCCCACUCAAAAUAUGAAACUUCAAUGAUAUUUCAGAAAAAAAAUUGCCAAAACUAUGUGAAUUUGUACAAAGUGUGGCCCCGCUCCUAUAGUUUGCCCUCACUUAGAAUAAUUUCUAGGUCCGCCCCUGUUCGCACCUAGCUAGCUUGUUUGAUCUUAAUAAAAAAGGGUUGUUCCUGAUACAUUCUACUAAAAUGAGUGUUGCAAAGAAAUUGAGGUUCCUAGUAAUUUUACAAGAAAACUCAAACUUGUGAUGUAAUAGUCCCGCGCGGCUGGCUGGUGUUGUUCAUUAUUUUAUUUUAUUUGAGACAUGGUGUUGUUCAUUAUGUUGCUACUUAUACUUUCUUUUUGCUUUCUAGUUUGAGUAUCUCUAGCCUUGUUUUGCUUUCCUUGCCCUAUUUCAUUGUACAAACUAGCGGUUUCUUAAUGGAAAUCAACGAGAGAGCUCAAAGUUUCAACAAAGAUCCGGGUUCAUUGGAAGCUCACACUAGAGGAUUCCAUCUCAUCGCUAAUUCUCUUCAUUUUAUUUUCCUUUGGUCAUAUGACUAUAAGAUUAUGGAGAACCCAUCUUUAAGAAACCUCCAAAACAUACAUAGGGCGGCAUACAACCGAAGUUAGGCUACGACCAGUUCCAGUUAUUACAAAAUAUAGGAAGUAGCUCAAACAAAGUAUCAUGGGACACUUCUAGCAAAGGUCGCAAAACAUCUCCCAAACACAACCAGCAUCUCCCUCUGGAGGCUAGAUACCUUCUUGUCGCCGGACAAUCAUCUGUCUACAAUAUUGCCCAGGCACCAAAGUGACUAAACAUGUUGUUGAAGGUAACAAAAAAAGGGACAUUAUGGAACUGUUGUUCAAAACACACAACGUAGCCAACUUUCCGAAACAUUGCAGCAUUGCCAAGUAGUUAAAUUAACCUUUUACAAAAAAAGAUCCACUAUGAUUAUUUAAAAAAUGGUCUCGUAUCUAGCGAUCUUAUAAUUACGGAAAAAAGAAACUAGAGAAAGCGGUCUUUUGCGAAUUUACCACUUAUAUUAGUCAAUAAAAUAAAAUUUUACAAUAUCAAAGCAUGGGAUGAACGACGUCAUCUUACACAUACCCUAAGCAAACCGUUCUGAGCCUGAGUUCUACCAAAAUUUGCAAGGGAGUGCCUUAAAUAAUUUUGAUAACCUCAACUAUGAGUAAUACAACUAUGGGGCCAUGUGUUCUUGCAUUUCAAGGAUAAAAAUAAGUACCAUGAGCAAUCUCAUUUCUUGCUUUUCACGAAGUUCACAACUUCCAUGUAGCCACUCUUAAUAAGGAUUGGCAGGCUGCUCCAUUGGAGUGCUUGGGCAGGUCCUUCCAUCAAGGUUGAUAAAUCGGACACCAAUACAUAUCGUUACAUGAUAACAAAUGCCAACAUGAGGUGAAGAUGAUGUGCCCUGAGAGAUCUCGAAGAACCAUGCAUGUUCAUGAGGUUCCGUCUUCAGCAUACAAACCAUCCGUGUUCAGUUUAACCUAGCCGACUUGACAUGGAGCCCAAAUAUACAUGGAAGAAGAAAAUAUCACUUUCACCACAAACACCUCGGUUAAAUUGAUACAAGAUGGAAGUUGGGAUACUAUGCAAUUCAAAAUAACUCUCGUGGAUAAAAAUGACGAAAAAUGUGUUCAAUAUUUUUUCAAAUAUAUGUUAAAAAAAUUGAGUGAAAACUGCAAUAUGCGUUAAAUGAUUUGUAUGAUUGAGUGGAAUGGUUGAAAUGUAUGGCAACUGUCUUUCGAAAUUUAUUUAUUUCGGUUAUAUUUCAUUAAAUUGCAUAAAUAUGUAAUAUGCAUUUUUAAAUUAUUUCACUCAAUCUUGUUCUCCGUUAAAUAGUUGAAAAAUGUGCUAAUUGUUUUCCAAAAUAUAGUGAAACAACAUGAAUAUUUAUUUUAUAAUAUAUGUGUUCCGUUUGAACAUUUCAAUCGUCUUAAAAUAUGUGUUAAAUAUUUUCUAAAAUUGAUCAAUACAAUAAUAGAAAUGUCUAUAUUUUUAAAAUAAUUAAAAUAUGUGUGAAAUAACUAAAAUACAAUUGAAAUGUAUGUGCAAUACUUCUUCUGAAAUGAGUGAAACAACUGAAAUAUGUGUUCAAUUUUUUUUUCAAAAUUUGAGUAACAUAAUUGAAAAUGUUAGUUCAGUUUUUUUAACACAUAUGUGAAAAAAUAAACAUAUAUUUGAAUCUCUGUGCAAAAUUUUCCGAAACUGAGUGAAGUAAUUGAAAUAUAUGUGAAAUUUUUAAUCCUGGGUGAAAUAAUCUUAUGUAUUUUAUAAAGUUAAGAAAAUAAGUGAAAUAUGUAUUUAAUAUCAUUUGAGACAAUGCAAUGUUUAUGAAACUGAUUUCAAAGAUUAUUCAAAUCGUAAAAUUAAAACUGGUUGAAAUGCAUCCAAGAUUGAUCUUCCUUCUGAACGUCUUAGUACUGCGAAUUCAAAUAUAUAUAUACAAACUUUGAACUAGUUUGAUAAAUGAUUUGUAGGAUUGAGUGGAAUAGUGUAAAUGUAUGGGAAAUGUUUUUCGAAAUUAAUUUAUUUUGGUUAUAUUUCAAUAAAUUGCAUAAAGAUGUAGUAAGUAUUUUAAAUUAUUUCACUCAAUCUUGUUCUCCGUGGAAUAACUGGAAUAUGUGUUAAAUAUUUUCCAAAAUAGAGUGAAACAACAUGAAUAUUUAUUUUAUAAUAUGUGUUCAGUUUCAUCAUUUCAAUUGUCUUAAAUAUUUGUUAAAUAUUUUCUAAAAAUGAUGAAUGAAAUACUCCCUUCAUUUACUUAUACAAGGCCACUAUAGAAUAUACAUUUUGCAUCUAUACAAGGCCUCCAACAAUAAGCGAGGACAAAUUAAGAAUAUAUUCUCGUACUAGCAACCUAUUUUGUACUUCUAUGCAUGUAGUCAUAAUGACAGUCAGUUACUUCCUCCACUCAGUUUUCUUCCAUGCAUGCGGCGUAUUAAUGAUCUCAAUGAACGAAAAGAAAAGCUAUCUUGCGAAGCAGUCAUUUUACAUUGGUGUCUGUAAUAUGAGUUUGUGGCCUUGUAUGUAAAAAUAUAGGGAGUAAGAGAAAUGUGCGUAUUUUUUAAAAUAAUUAAAAUAUGUGUGAAAUAAUUGAAAUAUAAUUGAAAUGUAUGUGCAAUACAACUUCUGAAAUUUAGUGAGAUAACUGAAAUAUUUGUUCAUUUUUUCCCGAAUGUUGAGUGAAAUAAUUGAAAAUGUGUGUUCAGUUUUAUAAUGCAUGUGAAAAAAUAAACAUACAUCUGAAUGUAUGUGCAAUAUGUGUUAAUUUUUAAAUAUUGGGUGAAAUAAUCGGAUGCGUUAUUAUUUUUUCUGGAGCUGAGUAAAUAAGUGAAAUGUGUGUUUAAUAUCAAUUGAGACAGUGUAAUGUUUAUGAAACUGGUUUCAAAGAUUAUUAAAUAGUGAAACUAAAACUAGUUCAAAUACAUCCAAGAUUGAUCUUGCUUCUGAAGACCUUCUCGCUGUGGAUUGAAAUAUAUCCAUACAAAGUUUGAACAAGAAAAUUAUUAAUCACCCAAAAGAUCCCUCUGCAUGCAACUGUGAGUUCCCAGUUUCCCUCUUCCACACUCUCUCACUUUGACCGGACGAAUCUAGCAAAGGUAAGUACUAGUAUAGAUCCGGUACUGUUCAUGUAUUGGCAGGUUGUGUCAGUGGUAUUCGAAUAUUAAGCGAAAGGUCACAUCUACCCCUAUGUUUAUUUUUACUCCACAUACAAGAUUUAUCUCAAAUCAAAAUUAGUAAAGUUUGACCAAAUUUAUUUAAAAAAAUCAACAUCUAUAAUAGUAAAGUUAUACAAUAUAAAAAAUAAUUCCAUGACAUCUAACGAUGACUUUGAUUUUGUAUUGUGAUGAAUGUUGAAAUUUUAUUUAUAAAAUUAUUUAAAGUUUAACUCCACACAAAUCUGAUACGCAGUAAAAAGGAAACAGAGGGCAAAUAGCACUGAUCACAGCUAAAGGUGCAUGCGUCUGUGAGCCUGAGAAACGUCGAAGACAGUGUAAACAGGCCGGGAUCGGAUCCAAAGCUGCUCGACGGUUCCAAGAUGGCCAAGUCUCCGGCAUCUCGCCACAGGUUAAUUAGUAAUUAAACUGCGUAUAGGCGCGCGCGAUCCAAAGCUGCUCGAAGGAUCGUACAGGAGAAUUCUUUUGGCGUUCGUAGUGCAGUGCAGUGCCAUUAAUGAAGUCAACUCGACGAGCAAUACGAGUAACCUCGAUGAAUGCCCUAGCUAAUGAAAUUAUAUUGCACCGUACCUGCCGACACUUACUGCUCGCAUACACUGACACUCACUGGAGCAGCUGCAUGCCACAGCAUCAGCACGGCAGCACACCGCCGAUGAAGCCCUUCUCGCGGAGCCUCCAGCGAGAUCUGGACGCCGCGGCCGAAUACGACGACGAUGGCAAGCAGUACUCCGCCGUCGACGGCAGCGGCAAGCAGAACCCCGAGAGGGGCGCACGGCGGCCGUCCCGGCUCUUCUACCUCGCGCUCCUCUACGUCGUCUUCUGGGCGCUGGUGUUCUACCACCACUUCUCCACCAGCAUGCAACAGUCGGUCAGCGCGGCGGUGGCAGCGCCCGCCGUGCUCCAGCUCAAGCCGUCGGCCUUCUUCUCGGUGCCCCGCAUCUUCCGCCGCGACCCGUGCGCCGGCCGGUACGUGUACAUGUACGACCUGCCGCCUCGGUUCAACGCCGACCUCGUCCGCGAGUGCCGCCGGAUCUCGGGCUCCACCGACGUGUGCAAGGACGUGGCCAACGACGGGUUCGGCCCGCCCAUCAAGGGCGGCGGCGAGGCCGGGUCGCUGCCGGAGAGCGGGGCCUACGACACCGACCAGUACAUGCUCGGCCUGAUCUUCCACGCCCGGAUGCGGCGGCACGAGUGUCUCACGGCCGACCCCGCCGCCGCCGCCGUGGUGUACGUCCCGUUCUACGCCGGUCUCGACUCGGCGAUGCACCUGGGGAGCAAAGACCUCGCGGCGCGGGACGCCCUGUCGCGGGACGUGGUGGACUGGCUGGCGCAGCGGCCAGAGUGGCGCGCCAUGGGCGGGCGCGACCACUUGCUGGUGUCCGGGCGGGGCACGUGGGACUUCAUCGUCAACCCCGACGCCGUCGGCUGGGGCAACGCGCUCAUGACCUUCCCGGCCAUCCUCAACGCCACGUUCCUCACCACCGAGGCCAGCCCGUGGCACGGCAACGACUUCGCCGUGCCGUUCCCGUCGCACUUCCACCCGUCGUCCGACGCCGAGGUCACCGGCUGGCAGGACCGCGUGUACGAGAUGGACCGCCCGUUUCUCUGGGGCUUCGCCGGCGGGGCCCGCGACGGCAGCCAGCGCACGGUGCGCGCCCAGAUCAUGGAGCAGUGCGGCAGGUCGAGCCGGUGCGCGCUGCUCGGCGUGCCGGCGCCGGGGCACUACGCGCCGGGCCGCGCCAUGCGGCUGCUGGAGAGCGCCGAGUUCUGCGUGCAGCCGCGCGGCGACGGGUACACGCGCAAGUCCACCUUCGACACCAUCCUCGCCGGCUGCAUCCCGGUCUUCUUCCACCCCGUCUCCGCCUACCUCCAGUACAUAUGGCACCUGCCGAGAGACCACCGGAGCUACUCCGUCUUCAUCCCGCACGGCGACGUGGUCGAGCGGAACGCCAGCAUCGAGGAGGUGCUGAGCAGGAUACCGCCGGCGAAGGUGGCGCAGAUGCGGGAGCAGGUCAUCCGGCUCAUCCCCACCGUGCUGUACCGGCACCCGGCGGCCAAGGGCGUGACGUUCAAGGACGCGUUCGACGUCGCUCUGGAGCGCGUCAUCGACCGUGUGGCGAAGCGCCGGCGCGCCGCCGCCGAGGGACGGGAGUACGUGGACAGCAUCGACGGGAAAUUUAGCUGGAAGUACGACCUGGCACAGGAUAGGGAGAAAAUGUUGGCUCCGCACGAGUUUGAUCCAUACAUCAACACGUAACAGCAUAUUUACUUUUGUUUGUCCAACUAUAAAUCAGUCAGCUUCAAAUCACCUUUUGAUUUGGACUUUUUUUAUGAAAAGGGGAAUAUAUAAAUAUCAAGCAGAUUUUGAAUUUUUUUUAUUGAUUUGGACUUUGGAGUAGUGAGUAUUACUUUCUCACUCAAUAAAGUGCUCACAAGAAACCAUGCAUGGCUAUUUUCCUCUGCUAACUGUUUAGGGUGUGUUUGACAGCAAAGUACUUAUUGCAUAAACUAUAGUAUUGAAAAACUGCAGUAUUUUUGUCUAUAGGUAUUACACUGUAGCGGGUUUGCUGUCUGAACCCUGUAGCAAGAUGUACUGUUUUCGUACUGUAGCAUUUAUACUGUUUAUGUUCUAUAGUAAGAAAUUUGAGCCAUUCAUACUAGAUCUGAAGGCUGAUAGGUGGCCCAAAGGUAGGAUACUGUAGCACCCUACCGUGCCUUCACCACGGUAGAGGAGCCAGUUCCGAGCAAUCUGGGCAUGAGGUGGCCAGGGGGCCGACCUGAUGCACGCACAACGCGUACGAGGAGAGGAGAAGCGCAAGUGGGAGUGGGAAGACACCAUUUUUCUUUCCAUUGCCUUCUCUUGGCUUGUUCCAUGGUUGCCGAUCUUCAAGGCGGCGGUGACGGCUUGGGAGCGAGGAAGGUGAGAGCAACUCCAACGGGCCGAUUCAAACCGACGUCGAUUUUGUCCCUUUUUUGUCUGUUUGGGUCGGUCAGGCGAACACGGUCGGUCAGGCGGACACGAACGUCCGCUUCCGCGUUUGGGUCGGCGCAUGCGUCCAACGCUGGCCCGAUGCAUUUUGACGGCGGGAGGAAAAAAAAGAAUACAUGCAUAUUUGAAAUAAAAACAAUAUUAAUUAAACAUUAAAGCCGGCCACGAAGACUGGCGAGAGUCCACGCGUCCAUAUUUGCAUUAAAAAAAAUUAGAAACAAACUAAACUACAAGUCAGCGCGCUGCCCUAGGCGUCGUCGUCGUCGUCCUCGGGGUCCGUGAGGUCGAUGUGCAUCGGCGCAGGGCCGGCCCAGGGGAACGCCGUGUUCCAGAGGGCGUUCAUGUCGGGCGCAGGCUGUGCCGCGGCCUGGCGCGCCUCCUCCUCGGCCUCGGUGUCGCGCUCGAGCAUCUCGAGGUACUCGCCGUGGCGGCGCUCCUCGGCCAGCUGUCGCUGGCGCCACUGUUCGAGGUACGCCGCCUCCUGCGCCGACGUCACCCCCAACCGGAUCGAUGGCGCGCUGACCCACUCGCGCACUACUCCCGUCCAGGAGUAGCACUCGAUGGGGGACGGCUCCGGCUCGGCUUUGACAGGGGAAGGUGGGGCCACCGGCGGCAGGACGCAGUCGCCCGCCGCGGAGAGGGCCAUGGCCGCCUCGUACGCCACCUCCUCUUCCUCGGCCGCCGCCGCCCUGCGCAGCUCGUCCUCCUUGCUCUCCCGGUAGACCGCCGCAAGGGCCGCCUAGUAGGCGGCCUCCGCUGCCUGGUCCUCCUCGCGGGCGACGAGCGGGGGCGGCGGCAUGGUGCGGUCGACUUCGCGAACUCCGCGUCGCCUCGCCUCCUCGUGCUCGAAGGUGAACCAGCGAGCCCAGUUGGGUGAGUCGGUUGCGUAGGCGGGGUCGCGGCGCUGCUCCGGCGUCAGGAGCAUCCGCCUGUGCCGCACCUUCCCCGCGUGCGCCCUAGCCGACCGUGGCGCCGCCGGCACUGGGAUCCUCUCCGGAUUCAGGUGCCAGUCGUACGACAGUGUGGCGUCGGGGUACAGGAGAGGCACGCGGUGCUGCCAGUGCUACUCCACCUGGUGCACUGGCACGUUGACGCGUUGCCUCGGCCGGCGAGCUGGCGCCGGCAGAGGCGGGAGGUACUCCGAGGGAAAAGGAAUGGCGGGGGGGGACUUGCCCUUGGCCUUGCUGCUGCCAGCGCCAGAGAAGAGCCCCAUCUGGGUUUGCUGGGGUGGCUAGGGUUUGCCGGCGACGGGGGAGCAGAGUGUGGCUCGAUGGGGACGGGGGCUGGCUGGAAGCGGAUGAGGACGGCCCCACCUCACGGUCGGCUUAAAAAAUGAUGGCCGCCGUCGCUGACGCGUGGGCCUGAGAUCAUAAAUUAAGCCGACCCGGUAGGUCGCGGGCAGUUGGACAACCGCCAGGUGGGGACGCGGCGGACACCGAGAAGGCGCGCGUGGCGUCCGUUCCGCGUCCGCCCCGACGCAUUUGGGGCGCAAAUUUGGGCCGCAAAUGCGUCGCCGCGGACGCAAAGCGGACUCGAUUUGGGUUUGGGUCCACGCGUUGGGCCUCCUCUUUUGUCCAAGCCGACUCAAACGGACGGCGGCGAACGAAAUGGGUCGCCCCAUUGGAGUUGCUCUGAUAACCAACAGUCUCGUUUUCUUCGCAUGCUCUGCUUUUAAAAAAGAUGUCUGGGGUUCUUUUUUUAAUGAAGAGAAAAUACCAUGGUUUUGACAAUACCACAGUAUUAAUACUAAAGUAUUUUGUGGUUGCCAAACAGCUCACCGUAAAUUAAACCAUGGUAUUUUUGAAAACAGCAGUAUUCUCAUAAUACUUGGAAAAAACUGAUCUAUCAAACGGGCCCUUAUUUGUGCAGUUUUGCUAUUUGUCACGCGCCUCAAAAAAUUUCAUGUGCCAGUCGAUUCCGCACAGCACAAGGCAGAAAACAGGGAUGAGGAGAGGAGCGACAACGACGAGCGUCGGCCACGCUGAGGCCGAGCUCGGACCUUGCCGGAGACGAUGACGUGAGCGGUAGCGAGCUGCGGCAUCUCAGGUGGAGGUGAGGAAGAAACUUAAUGGGGAGGGAGGGGUUGGGGUGUGCAAGGGGUUGAUCAUCGAGACGGCACUAGAGGGAUAGUCGGGGCGAUGGCUAGCAUAGCGUUGGGCGAGGUCGAGCGGAGGGCGGGCUGGCGAGGCGGCAACAACCGCCAACCACGGGGGCGCAGGCGAGCGGUUAGGCCUGAGUAGAUCGCGGGGAAGGAGAAAGAACAUGCGAGGGAAAGAAGAUGAAUAAUAGUGACGCACUCCUAACCGUUUGUAUAUUGAUGUGAUGGCCUUAAAUAUAAGUCACUCAUGAGUAGUUUUUUCUGAUGGACUAAAAUAUAAGUGACUCAUGCGAGGAGAUUUUUUCAUUUGCAAACCGUAAUCCCGUGGAAAAUAUAAGUCACCCAAAUGAUGGUGGCCUAAAAUAUAAGUCACCGGGUGAAAUCAUCUUGUGCACACUGAAAUCCCAUGGAAAAUCAACAUCAUCAUUUGGCGGACGGUGAGACCUGGGAAGCCCAAACCGGGAAACAAAGAACUGAAGCAAUGAAAUCUAUAUCAUCUAGGUAAGAGGAGUGGAAGGAAUAGAUUGUGUUCACCGUUAAUUUGAGAAUGGUGGUAGAGCUCCAAGAUUCCAAUAGAUGGCUCGUUGUGUUGGGGAAUUAGCACAUAAAUGCACUCGUGGUUAACUGAAAACUGCAACGGAAACAAGUAAUCUCAGCAUCACAUCAUGUACUAACUCAAGGAUCGUUGCUUAGCAUAGAAGGAAACAUAUGCAGUAGCAUAUAUGGAGGCAGAAAAUGUUACUCAGCAGGCAAGACACUCCUCAGGCUAGUGUCUUGUGGUAGGAGUAAGUUUCUGAACAGCAGCAAGCAUCAACAAGGAGACACCAGAUUUUUACGUGGAAACCCCCCAACUCGAGGGGAAAAACCACGGGCCGAAGCCACCCAAAUCCUCUUCCACUAUUAUCAAAUGUGGGAUACAACAAGUUCUUCUCUAGACAGCACUAGAGGAUCUCAUACAUCAAGAUUUCUGAAUUAUGGAUGAACACAACAAGAUUUGGGGCUCACGAACUAGGGAUUGGAACAUUUUCACCAAAGAUGGUGGAACCGGAGCUUGAAGGAGACAAGGUAGUGGAUCUGGACCAUCACAACCUUGGGGAGGAGCUCCCUUGCUUCUUCCUUCAAUCUUCCUCUUCUUCCCUUGCUCUCUUGGUUUUUCUCUCUUCUUCUCCCUUGGAGGAUGAACUGAUUUUCGUCACUCUUGGUGGUGGCUGCUGGAUGGAGGGUAAUGAAGGAAAUAUGCCCUAGAGGCAAUAAUAAAGUUAUUAUUUAUUUCCUUAUAUCAUGAUAAAUGUUUAUUAUUCAUGCUAGAAUUGUAUUAACCGGAAACAUGAUACAUGUGUGAAUACAUAGACAAACAGAGUGUCACUAGUAUGCCUCUACUUGACUAGCUUGUCGAUCAAAGAUGGUUAUGUUUCCUAGCCAUAGACAAAGAGUUGUCAUUUGAUUAAUUGGAUCACAUCAUUAGGAGAAUGAUGUGAUUGACUUGACCCAUUCCGUUAGCUUAGCACUCGAUCGUUUAGUAUGUUGCUAUUGCUUUCUUCAUGACUUAUACAUGUUCCUAUAACUAUGAGAUUAUGCAACUCCCGUUUACUGGAGGAACACUUUGUGUGCUACCAAACGUCAUAACGUACUGGGUGAUUAUAAAGGUGCUCUACAGGUGUCUCCGAAGGUACUUGUUGGGUUGGCGUAUUUCGAGAUUAGGAUUUGUCACUCCAAUUGUCGGAGAGGUAUCUCUGGGCCCACUCGGUAAUGCACAUCACUAUAAGCCUUGCAAGCAUUGUAACUAAUGAGUUAGUUGCAGGAUGAUGUAUUACGGAACGAGUAAAGAGACUUGCCGGUAACAAGAUUGAACUAGGUAUUGAGAUACCGACGAUCGAAUCUCGGGCAAGUAACAUACCGAUGACAAAGGGAACAACGUAUGUUGUUAUGCGGUUUGACCGAUAAAGAUCUUCGUAGAAUAUGUGAGAGCCAAUAUGAGCAUCCAGGUUCCGCUAUUGGUUAUUGACCGGAGACGUGUCUCGGUCAUGUCUACAUUGUUCUCGAACCCGUAGGGUCCGCACGCUUAAAGUUCGAUGACGGUUAUAUUAUGAGUUUAUAUUUUUUGAUGUACCGAAGGUAGUUCGGAGUCCCGGAUGAGAUCGGGGACAUGGCGAGGAGUCUCGAAAUGGUCGAGACGUAAAGAUCGAUAUAUUGGACGACUAUAUUCGGACAUCGGAAAGGUUCCGAGUGAUUCGGGUAUUUUUCGGAGUACCGGAGAGUUACGGGAAUUCGCCGGGGAGUAUAUGGGCCUUAUUGGGCUUUAGGGGAAAGAGAGAGGAGAGGCUGCGCCCCCCCCCCAAGGCCUAGUCCGAAUUGGACUAGGGGGAGGGGCUGCGCCCCCUCCUUCCUUCUCUUCUCUCUCCCCUUUCCUUGACUCCUACUCCUACACUACUUGGAGGGGGGGGGGGAAUCCUACUCCUGGUGGGAGUAGGACUCCUCCUAGGGCGCGCCAUAGAGAGGGCCGGCCCUCCCCCUCCUCCACUCCUUUAUAUACGGGGAGGGGGCACCCCUUGGAGACACAACAAUUGAUCCCUUGGAUCUCUUAGCCGUGUGCGGUGCCCCCCUCCACCAUAAUCCACCUCGGUCAUUCGGUGCUUAGGCGAAGCCCUGCGUCGGUAGAACAUCAUCAUCGUCACCACGCCGUCGUGCUGACGGAACUCUUCCUUAAAGCUCAGCUGGAUCGGAGUUCGAGGGACGUCAUCGAGUUGAACGUGUGCUGAACUCGGAGGUGUCGUGCGUUCGGUACUUGAUCGGUCGGAUCGUGAAGACGUACGACUACAUCAACCGCGUUGUGCUAAUGCUUCCGCUUUCGGUCUACGAGGGUACGUGGACAACACUCUCCCUUCUCAUUGCUAUGCAUCACCAUGAUCAUGUGUGUGCGUAGGAAAUUUUUUGAAAUUACUACGUUCCCCAACAGUGGCAUCCGAGCCUGGUUUUAUGCGUAGAUGUUAUAUGCACGAGUAGAACACAAGUGAGUUGUGGGCGAUAUAAGUCAUACUGCUUACCAGCAUGUCAUACUUUGGUUCGGCGGUAUUGUUGGAUGAAGCGGCCCGGACCGACAUUACGCGUACGCUUACGCGAGACUGGUUUUACCGCCGUGCUAUGCACACAGGUGACUAGCGGGUGUCAGUUUCUCCAACUUUAGUUGAACCGAGUGUGGCUACGCCCGGUCCUUGCGAAGGUUAAAACAGCACCAACUUGACAAACUAUCGUUGUGGUUUUGAUGCGUAGGUAAGAACGGUUCUUGCUCAGCCCGUAGCAGCCAUGUAAAACUUGCAAUAGCAAAGUAGAGGACGUCUAACUUGUUUUUGCAGGGCAUAUUGUGAUGUGAUAUGGUCAAGGCAUGAUGCUAUAUUUUAUUGUAUGAGAUGAUCAUGUUUUGUAACCGAGUUAUCGGCAACUGGCAGGAGCCAUAUGGUUGUCGCUUUAUUGUAUGCAAUGCAAACGCCCUGUAAUGCUUUACUUUAUCACUAAGUGGUAGCGGUAGUCGUAGAAGCAUAAGUUGGCGAGACGACAACGAUGCUACGAUGGAGAUCAAGGUGUCGCGCCGGUGACGAUGGUGAUCAUGACGGUGCUUCGGAGAUGGAGAUGACAAGCACAAGAUGAUGAUGGCCAUAUCAUAUCACUUAUAUUGAUUGCAUGUGAUGUUUAUCUUUUAUGCAUCUUAUCUUGCUUUGAUUGACGGUAGCAUUAUAAGAUGAUCUCUCACUAAAUUAUCAAGGUAUAAGUGUUCUCCCUGAGUAUGCACCGUUGCGAAAGUUCUUCGUGCUGAGACACCACGUGAUGAUCGGGUGUGAUAGGCUCUACAUUCAAAUACAACGGGUGCAAAACAGUUGCACACGCGGAAUACUCAGGUUAAACUUGACGAGCCUAGGAUAUAACAGAUAUGGCCUCGGAACACUGAGACCGAAAGGUCGAGCGUGAAUCAUAUAGUAGAUAUGAUUAACAUAGUGAUGUUCACCAUUGAAACUACUCCAUCUCACGUGAUGAUCGGACAUGGUUUAGUUGAUUUGGAUCACGUGAUCACUUAGAGGAUUAGAGGGAUGUCUAUCUAAGUGGGAGUUCUUAAGUAAUAUGAUUAAUUGAACUUAAAUUUAUCAUGAACUUAGUCCUGGUAGUAUUAGCAUAUCUAUGUUGUAGAUCAAUAGCUCGCGUUUAGCUUCCCUGUUUUAUUUUGAUAUGUUCCUAGAGAAAACUAAGUUGAAAUAUGUUAGUAGCAAUGAUGCGGACUUGGUCCGUGAUAUGAGGAUUAACCUCAUUGCUGCACAGAAGUAUUAUGUCCUUGAUGCACCGCUAGGUGACAGAACUAUUGCAGGAGCAGAUGCAGACGUUAUGAAUGUUUUGACAAAAGCUCGGAAUGAUGACUACUUGAUAGUUUAGUGCACCAUGCUUUACGGCUUAGAAUCGAGGCUUCAAAGACGUUUUUAAAACGUCAUGGAGCAUAUAAGAUGUUCCAAGAGUUGAAAUUAGCAUUUCAGACUCAUGCCCGUAUCGAGAGGUAUGAGACCUAUGACAGUACUUUGCCUAAAAGAUGGAGGAUAAUAGCUCAAUCAGUGAGCAUAUGCUCAGAUUGUCUGGGUACUACAAUCACUUGAAUCAAGUGGGAGUUAAUCUUCCAGAUAAGAUAGUGAUUGACAGAGUUCUCUAGUCACUAUCGCCAAGUUACUAGAACUUCGUGAUGAACUAUAAUAUGCAAGGGAUAACGGAAAUGAUUCCCAAGCUCUUCGUGAUGCUGAAAUCGACGAAGGUAGAAAUCAAGAAAAGCAUCAAGUGUUGAUGGUUGACAAGACCACUAGUUUCAAGAAAAUGGAAAAAGGAAGAAGGGGAACUUCAAGAAGAACGACAAGCAAGUUGCUGCUCAAGUGAAGAAGCCCAAGUCUGGACCUAAGCCUGAGAUUAAGUGCUUCUACUGCAAAGGGACUGGUCACUGGAAGCGGAACUACCCCAAGUAAUUGGCGGAUAAGAAGGAUGGCAAAGUGAACAUAGGUAUAUUUGAUAUACAUGUUAUUGAUGUGUACUUUACUAGUGUUUAUAGCAACCCUUCAGUAUUUGAUACUAGUUUAGUUGCUAAGAGUAGUAACUCGAAACGGGAGUUGCAGAAUGAACAGAAACUAGUUAAGGGUGAAGUGACGAUGUGUGUUGGAAGUAGUUCCAAGAUUGAUAUGAUCAUCAUCGCACACUCCCUAUACUUUCGGGAUUAGUGUUGAACCUAAAUAAGUGUUAUUUGGUGUUUGCGUUGAGCAUGAAUAUGAUUUGAUCAUGUUUAUUGCAAUACGGUUAUUCAUUUAAGUUAGAGAACAAUUGUUGUUUUGUUAACAUGAAUAAAACCUUCUAUGGUCAUACACCCCAACGAAAAUGGUUUGUUGGAUAUCGAUCGUAGUGAUACACAUAUUCAUAAUAUUGAAGCCAAAAGAUGCAAAGUUAAUAAUGAUAGUGCAACUUAUUUAUGGCACUGCCGUUUAUGUCAUAUUGGUGUAAAACGCAUGAAGAAACUCCAUGCUGAUGGGAUUUUGGAAUCACUUAAUUAUGAAUCACUUGAUGCUUGCGAACCAUGCCUUAUGGGCAAGGUGACUAAAACUCUGUUCUCCGGAACAAUGGAGCAAGCAACUGACUUAUUGGAAAUAAUAUAUACUGAUGUAUACGGUCCGAUGAGUGUUGAGGCUCACGGCGGGUAUCGUUAUUUUCUGACCUUCACAGAUGAUUUGAGCAGAUAUGGGUAUAUCUACUUGAUGAAACAUAAGUCUGAAACAUUUGAAAAGUUCAAAGAAUUUCAGAGUGAAGUGGAAAAUCAUCGUGACAAGAAAAAUAAAGUUUCUACGAUCUGAUCGCGGAGAAAAAUAUUUGAGUUACGAGUUUGGUCUUCAUUUGAAACAAUGCGGAAUAGUUUCGCAACUCACGCCAUCUGGAACACCAUAGCGUAAUGGUGUGUCCGAACGUCAUAACCGUACUUUAUUGGAUAUAGUGCAAUCUAUGAUGUUUCUUACCGAUUUACCACUAUAGUUUUGGGGUUAUGCAUUAGAGACAGCUGCAUUCACGUUAAAUAGGGCACCAUCAAAAUUCGUUGAGACGAUGCCUUAUGAACUGUGGUUUGGCAAGAAACCAAAGUUGUCGUUUCUUAAAGUUUGGGGCUGUGAUGCUUAUGUGAAAAAGCUUCAACCUGAUAAGCUCGAACCCAAAUCGGAGAAAUGUGUCUUCAUAGGAUACCCAAAGGAAACUGUUGGGUACACCUUCUAUCACAGAUCCGAAGGCAGGACAUUCGUUGCAAAGAAUGAAUCCUUUCUAGAGAAGGAGUUUAUCUCGAAAGAAGUGAGUGGGAGGAAAGUAGAACUUGAUGAGGUAACUGUACCUGCUCCCUUAUUUGAAAAGUAGUUCAUCACAGAAAUCUGUUCCUGCGACUACUACACCAAUUAGUGAGGAAGCUAAUGAUGAUGAUCAUGUAACUUCAGAUCAAGUUACUACCGAACCUCGUAGGUAAACCAGAGUGAGAUCCGCACCAGAGUGGUACGGUAAUCCUGUUCUGGAGGUCAUGUUACUUGACCAUGACGAACCUACGAACUAUGAGGAAGCGAUGAUGAGCCCAGAUUCCGCAAAAUGGCUUGAGGCCAUGAAAUCUGAGAUGAGAUCCAUGUAUGAGAACAAAGUAUGGACUUUGAUUGACUUGCCCAAUGAUUGGCGAGCCAUUGAGAUUAAAUGGAUCUUCAAAGGGAAGACAGACGCUGAUAGUAGUGUUACUAUCUACAAAGCUAGAAUUGUCGCAAAAGGUUUUCGACAAGUUCAAGGUGUUGACUACGAUGAGAGUUUCUCACUCGUAUCUAUGCUUAAGUCUGUCCGAAUCAUGUUAGCAAUUUCCGCAUUUUAUGAAAUCUGGCAAAUGGAUAAACAAAACUGCAUUCCUUAAUGGAUUUCUUAAAGAAGAGUUGUAUAUGAUGCAACCAAAAGGUUUUGUCAAUCCUAAAGGUGCUAACAAAAUAUGCAAGCUCCAGUGAUCCAUCUAUGGACUGGUGCAAGCAUCUCGGAGUUGGAAUAUACGCUUUGAUAAGUUGAUCAAAGGAUAUAGUUUUAUACAGACUUGCGGUGAAGCCUGUAUUUACAAGAAAGUGAGUGGGAGCACUACAACAUUUCUGAUAAGUAUAUGUGAAUGACAUAUUGUUGAUCGAAAAUAAUGUAGAAUUAUUCUGCAAAGCAUAAAGGAGUGUUUGAAAGGAGUUUUUCAAAGAAAGACCUCGGUGAAGCUGCUUACAUAUUGAGCAUCAAGAUCUAUAGAGAUAGAUCAAGAUGCUUGAUAAGUUUUUCAAUGAGCUUGAUAAGCAUAAAGGAGUGUUUGAAAGGAGUUUUUCAAAGAAAGACCUCGGUGAAGCUGCUUACAUAUUGAGCAUCAAGAUCUAUAGAGAUAGAUCAAGACGCUUGAUAAGUUUUUCAAUGAGUACAUACCUUGACAAGAUUUUGAACUAGUUCAAAAUGGAACAGUCAAAGAAAGAGUUCUUGCCUGUGUUACAAGGUGUGAAAUUGAGUAAAACUCAAAGCCCGACCACGGCAGAAGAUAGAAAGAGAAUGAAAGUCAUUCCCUAUGCCUCAGCCAUAGGUUCUAUAAAGUAUGCCAUGCUGUGUACCAGAUCUAUUGUAUACCCUACACUGAGUUUUGCAAGGGAGUACAAUAGUGAUCUAGGAGUAGAUCACUGGACAGCGGUCAAAAUUAUCCUUAGUGGAAUAAGGAUAUGUUUCUCGAUUAUGGAGGUGACAAAAGGUUCGUCAUAAAGAGUUACGUCGAUGCAAGCUUUGACACCGAUCUGGAUGACUCUAAGUCUCGAUCUAGAUACAUAUUGAAAGUGGGCGCUAUUAGCUAGAGUAGCUCCGUGCAGAGUAUUGAAGACAUAGAAUAUUUGCAAAAUACAUACGGAUCUGAAUGUGGCAGACCCGUUGACUAAACUUCUCUCACAAGCAAAACAUGAUCACACCUUAGUACUCUUUGGGUGUUAAUCACAUAGCAAUGUGAACUAGAUUAUUGACUCUAGUAAACCCUUUGGGUGUUGGUUACAUGACGAUGGGUGUUAAUCACAUGGUAAUGUGAACUAUUGGUGUUAAAUCACAUGGCGAUGUGAACUAGAUUAUUGACUCUAAUAAACCCUUUGGGUGUUGGUCACAUGACGAUGGGUGUUAAUCACAUGGUAAUGUGAACUAUUGGUGUUAAAUCACAUGGCGAUGUGAACUAGAUUAUUGACUCUAGUGCAAGUGGGAGACUGAAGGAAAUAUGCCCUAGAGGCAAUAAUAAAGUUAUUAUUUAUUUCCUUACAUCAUGAUAAAUGUUUAUUAUUCAUGCUAGAAUUGUAUUAACCGGAAACAUGAUACAUGUGUGAAUACAUAGACAAACAGAGUGUCACUAGUAUGCCUCUACUUGACUAGCUUGUUGAUCAAAGAUGGUUAUGUUUCCUAGCCAUAGACAAAGAGUUGUCAUUUGAUUAAUGGGAUCACAUCAUUAGGAGAAUGAUGUGAUUUACUUGACCCAUUCCGUUAGCUUAGCACUCGAUCGUUUAGUAUGUUGCUAUUGCUUUCUUCAUGACUUAUACAUGUUCCUAUGACUAUGAGAUUAUGCAACUCCCGUUUACCGGAGGAACACUUUGUGUGCUACCAAACGUUACAACGUAACUGGGUGAUUAUAAAGGUGCUCUACAGGUUUCUCCGAAGGUACUUGUUGGGUUGGCGUAUUUCGAGAUUAGGAUUUGUCACUCCGAUUGUCGGAGAGGUAUCUCUGGGCCCACUCAGAAAUGCACAUCACUAUAAGCCUUGCAAGCAUUGUAACUAAUGAGUUAGUUGCGGGAUUAUGUAUUACGGAACGAGUAAAGAGACUUGCCGAUAACGAGAUUGAACUAGGUAUUGAGAUACCGACGAUCGAAUCUCGGGCAAGUAACAUACCGAUGACAAAGGGAACAACGUAUGUUGUUAUGCGGUUUGACCGAUAAAGAUCUUCGUAGAAUAUGUGGGAGCCAAUAUGAGCAUCCAGGUUCCGCUAUUGGUUAUUGACCGGAGACGUGUCUCGGUCAUGUCUACAUUGUUCUCGAACCCGUAGGGUCCGCACGCUUAAAGUUCGAUGACGGUUAUAUUAUGAGUUUAUGUGUUUUGAUGUACCGAAGGUAGUUCGGAGUCCCAGAUGAGAUCGGAGACAUGACGAGGAGUCUCGAAAUGGUCAAGACAUAAAGAUCGAUAUAUUGGACGACUAUAUUCGGACAUCGGAAAGGUUCCGAGUGAUUCGGGUAUUUUUCGGAGUAUCGGAGAGUUACGGGAAUUCGCCGGGGAGUAUAUGGGCCUUAUUGGGCUUUAGGGGAAAGAGAGAGGAGAGGAUGCGCNNNNNNNNNNNNNNNNNNNNNNNNNNNNNNNNNNNNNNNNNNNNNNNNNNNNNNNNNNNNNNNNNNNNNNNNNNNNNNNNNNNNNNNNNNNNNNNNNNNNNNNNNNNNNNNNNNNNNNNNNNNNNNNNNNNNNNNNNNNNNNNNNNNNNNNNNNNNNNNNNNNNNNNNNNNNNNNNNNNNNNNNNNNNNNNNNNNNNNNNNNNNNNNCGAAUUGGACUAGGGGGAGGGGCUGCGCCCCCUCCUUCCUUCUCUUCUCUCUCCCCUUUCCUUGACUCCUACUCCUACUACCUAGAAGGGGGGAAUCCUACUCCCGGUGGGAGUAGGACUCCUCCUAGGGCGCGCCAUAGAGAGGGCCGGCCCUCCCCCUCCUCCACUCCUUUAUAUACGGGGAGGGGGGCACCCCUUGGAGACACAACAAUUGAUCCCUUGGAUCUCUUAGCCGUGUGCGGUGCCCCCCUCCACCAUAAUCCACCUCGGUAAUAUCGUAGCGGUGCUUAGGCGAAGCCCUGCGUCGGUAGAACAUCAUCAUCGUCACCACGCCGUUGUGCUGACAGAACUCUCCCUUAAAGCUCGGGUGGAUCAGAGUUCGAGGGACGUCAUCGAGUUGAACGUGUGCUGAACUCGGAGGUGUCGUGCGUUCGGUAAUUGAUCGAUCGGAUCUUGAAGACGUACGACUACAUCAACCACGUUGUGCUAAUGCUUCCGCUUUCGAUCUAUGAGGGUACAUGGACAACACUCUCCCCUCUCGUUGCUAUGCAUCACCAUGAUCCUGUGUGUGCGUAGGAAUUUUUUUGAAAUUACUACGUUCCCCAACAGGUAAAGCAUCCCCAUCCACUCAUGUGCAAAGACCAAAAUGACCCUAGGUCAUAACCCUAAUGGGUAGUGUGCUUCUGCACCUCUUUGGGCUGCCUAAAAGGCCUCAAGUGGUCAUCUCCUCACAGCCCACAUGAGGAGGAUAUCCCAACAAAUCUCCCCCUCCGACUCAUGAGGGGGGCACCGCCAUACCCGCUACCUUGCAACAUGCUUGUAGCUUCUCAUUUGGCAAUAUCUUGGUCAUCAUAUCCGCACCAUUAUCGUUGGUAUGUAUCUUCUCAAGUUUCAGCAAGUUGGAACUCACAACAUCGCGAAUCCAAUGGUACCUCACAUCAAUGUGCUUGGUUCGAGAGUGAUAGCUUGAAUUCUUGGCAAGAUGAAUAGCACUCUGACUGUCACAAAAUAUAACAUACUUCUCUUGCUUCAUGCCGAGCUCUUGCAAGAAGUUCUUCAUCCACAAAACUUCCUUGCCAGCAUCAACUGCUGCAAUGUACUCAUCUUCUGUAGUUGAUGUAGAAAUACAUUUCUGCAAUCUUGAUUGCCAUGACACUGCUCCCCCUGCAUAAGUCAUCAGGUAUCCGGAUGUGGACUUCCUACGAUCCUUGUCACCUGCAUAAUCUGCAUCUGUAUAACCCUGCAAUACAGGAUUACCACUUCCAAAGCAUAAACAAGAUGUAGAAGUUCCUUUGAGAUACCUGAGAAUCCACUUCACUACUUCCCAGUGAGCUUUACCUAGAUUUGUCAUGAACCGGCUAACAACUCCAACUGCAUAGGCAAUGUCAUGCCUAGUGCAUACCAUGGCAUACAUCAAAAUGCCCAUAGCAGAUUGGUAAGGUACUUUCCUCAUUUCUUUCUCCUUCUUGCUUGUAGGACAUUGUUUUGAAUUCAGUUUGUGAUGGCCUGCAAGCGGAGAGAUAACAGAUUUUGCAUCUUUCAUAUUGAACCUUUCAAGUACCUUCUCAAUAUAUCUUUUCUGUGAGAGCCAAAGCAGCUUCUUUGAUCUAUCACGGGAGAUCUUCAUGCCAAGUAUUUGCUUAGCUGGUCCUAAAUCCUUCAUGGAAAAUGAUUUACUCAAUGCCUUCUUCAGGAGAUCAAUCCUCUUUGUGCCAUUUCCAACAAUCAGCAUAUCAUCAACAUACAACAAGAGAAUAAUGAAGUCACCCUCGGUGUACCUCUUCAUAAAGACACAGUGAUCAGGUUGUGCUUUAUGGUAACCAAGCCCAGUCAUAAAAGACUCAAACUUCUUGUACCACUGCCGAGGAGCUUGCUUCAAGCCAUACAAGCUCUUCUUCAAUUUGCAAACUAAGUGCUCUUUGCCUGCAACCAAUAUUGUCAAAAUCGCGAUUUUAUUAUACGAUUCUACGACUUUACGAUCCAAACUAACCCCUCUGAUUCUACGAUUUUACUUCAUAGAAUCUACGUUUCUAUGAUCCUAAUAGUGAAGAUUCUAUGAUUUUGCGAUCCUACCAUCGGAGGUCCGAUCCGAUUCAAAAUCGCGAUUCUGACAACCUUGCCUGCAACCAUGAAACCCUCUGGCUGCUCCAUGUAUAUCUCCUCCUCUAGAUCACAAUGCAAGAAUGCAGUCUUCACAUCAAGUUGUUCAGUUUCCAAGUCCAUGCUGGCAGCCAUGCCAAGCACAACUCGGAUCGAAGACAUCUUGACCACUGGAGAGAAUAUCUCAUCAUAAUCAAUGCCCUUUUUCUGCCUGAAUCCUUUCACAACCAAUAUGGCCUUGUACCUUGGAUGUGAGGUGUUUUAUUCAGUCUUCACUCUGUACACCCACUUGUUCUUGAGUGCUUUCUUGCCUUUUGGCAGAUUCACCAACUCAAAAGUAUCAUUCUCAUAUAGGGAAUUGAUCUCAUCCUGCAUGGCUUCUGACCAUUCUUCUUUGUUCUCAUCAUACAUUGCCUCCUCAUAGCAUGAGGGCUCACCUGCAUCUGUCAUCAACACAUAUUGAUGUGGUGUAUAUUUAGAAGAAGGAAUGUGAACUCUUUCACUUCUUCUUUGCUGUUGCACUGGUGGUGAAUCAGGUGGAUUUUUGUUGGCAUCAUCAUUACCAACUUCUUCAUCAUCAUCACUUGAUGGUUGCUCGUCACUUUGACUUGUACUGUCUUGAUCAGUUGCAUCUCCACUGUCUUCAGUGUCAUCAUCUCCCCCAUGAUUUUCAUGCACGAGAGGAGGACGGAUUGGAUCCAUGUCAACCUGAGGUGUGCUGGUCAUUGGCUUCUCUGGUUUCCCAAUAUCUUUUAUUGUUUCAUCUUCAAUGAACACCACAUCUCGGCUUCUCACAAUCUUCCUAUUUGCUGGAUCCCACAACCUGUACCCAAACUCUUCACUUGGUUGGCUGAGGUAGAUGCACUGCUUUGUCUUGCUAUCAAGCUUGGAUCUCUCAUCCCUUGGAACAUGUACAAAUGCCCUACAACCAAAGACCUUCAAGUGCUUGUAUGAUACCUCCUUCCCUGAUCAAACUCUCUGAGGAAUAUCACCUGCAAGAGGAACUGAGGGAGAUAGGUUAACCACAUACAUAGCAUUCAUCAAAGCUUCAGCCCAAAAGGAAUUAGGUAAAUGAGCACGAGAGAGCAUAGUUGUGACCCUCUCUGUGAGUGUCCUGUUCAUUCUCUCUGCAAGACCAUUGAGCUGAGGUGUCUUUGGUGGACUCUUCUCAAGCCUGAUGCCAAACUUUCUGCAAUACCUUUCAAAAGGACCUCUAUAUUCACCAUCAUUGUCUGAUCUCACGCACUUCAAUUUCCUGCCAGUUUCUAUUUCAACCUUGGCAUGGAACUCCUUGAAGGCUUCAAGCGUCUCGUAUUUGUGUUUCAGCACAUACACAAAAACCUUUCUGGAAUGGUCAUCAAUAAAAGUCACAAAGUAUAAUGCUCCACCAUGAGAUUUUUCAGUCAUGGAGCAAACGUCAGUGUGCACAAUAUCAAGAACAUUUUCUGCACGAUGUGGAGGGAGUCACAAAGUAUCAAUAAAAGUCACAAAGUAUAAUGCUCCACCAUGAGAUUUUUCAGUCAUGGAGCAAACGUCAAUGUGCACAAUAUCAAGAACAUUUUCUGCACGAUGUGGAGGGAGUGUACGAAAUGCAACCCUAUGUUGUUUACCUGCAAAACAAUGUGCACAGGGUUUCAAGGAUAUACCUUUCAACUCAGGGAGGUACUCCAUGCGAGCAAGAGCGUGCAUGCCCUUCUCAGUCAUAUGCCCAAGCCUCUUGUGCCACAAUUCAACCGAAGUGUCUUUUUCAGCAAUGUUCAACACCUCAUUGCACAACUUGGUUUUAGUCACAUAGAGAUUACCUUGCUUACUUCCUCGAGCCACAAUCAUAGAGCCUUUGGCGAGCUUCCAUUUUCCUUCACCAAAAUAACUAGGAUGUUUGAUAUCAUCAAGCUUGCCCACUGACAACAAAUUCAGCCUUAUGUCGGGAACAUGCCUCACAUCAUCGAGCACCAAUCUGCAACAUGUGUUUGUUUCAAUGCAUAUAGAGCCCUUGCCAACAAUUGCUGACGAACCACUAUUUCCCAUCAUCACUUGGCCAGUAACACCACUAGUGUAAGAUGUGAAAAUACUCCUUAUAUGAUGUGAUGUGGAAGGACCCACCUGAAUCCACAACCCAACUCAUAGCAUCAUCACGAACAACACUAUAGAAAUCUUCAUCUUCAAUGAUUAGAUAGUCCUCAUCUGUUGCGGUCAUGGCUGAACUGCUCUCAGCCUUUUGCUCGGUUUUCUUUGUGAGUUUCCCCUCUGCAAGCUCACUUUUGUACUUCCUGCACUCGCUCUUUAUGUGUCCCGGAUUGCCACAAUGAAAGCAAGUAAUAUCUUUUCUCUGUUUUGACUUUGAUCUCCCCCUGGAUUUGCUUUUGCCUUGCUGAAAUCUUGUAUUGUUGCGUCCACGGUUCUCAUUCUUCCCAUGGGUUUCAGCCACAUAUGCAUCAGAAGAAGGGGCAUCAUCAUUUUCCUUCUUUCUGGUUUCUUCAUUCAGCAUACUGUUCUUCACCAUCUCCAAAGUCAACUUCCCAUCCGGAGUUGAAUUGCUAAGUGACACAACAAGCGUGUUCCAACUAUCAGGCAUGGAACUCGGCAGCAACAAUGCCUGCACCUCAUCCUCAAGGUUGGUCUUCAUGGCUGAAAGUUGAUUUAUAUCGCAUUGGAAGACAUUCAAAUGCUCAAUCACACUUGUGUCAUCUCAGUACUCAAACUUUGCAAGUCUUUUGAUCACCGAGGCUUUGUUCAUUGAUGUCUUCCUCUCGUACAUGGACUCCAACUUCUGCCACAUCUCAUAAGCAUUUGUGUCGUUUGCAACAUGGUGGAAAAUAUUGUGGUUGAUGUACAACCGAAUCAUACCUACUGCCUUUCUGUGCAAUACUCUCCAUUCUUCUUCUGUGACACCAGUGGGUAUGUUGUCUAUCACAAUUGGCUCAUACAAAUCCUUGCAAUAAAGAAUGUCUUCCAUCAUGGGCUUCCAUAAUGAGUAAUUCGAAGAAUCAAGUUUUAUCAUGUCACUUGUAGUAGUGCUUUCUUCCAAAGGCAUUGUGAGCAGCUCUUCCAGCAACAAUCAAGCAACUGAGAUUUGCAACCUUCUAAGCAACCAAAGCUUUGAUACCACUCUAUUGGGGAAUUAGCACAUAAAUGCACUUGUGGUUAACUGAAAACUGUAGCGGAAACAAGUAAUCUGAGCACCACAUCAUGUACUAACUCAAGGAUCAUUGCUUAGCAUGGAAGGAAACAUAUGCAACAGCAUAUAUGGAGGCAGAAAAUGUUACUCAGCAGGCAAGACACUCCUCAGCCUAGUGUCUUGUGGUAGGAGUAAGUUUCUGGACAGCAGCAAGCAUCAACAAGGAGACACCAGAUUUUUACGUGGAAAACCCCUCAACUUGAAGGGGAAAAACCACGGGCCGAAGCGACCCAAAUCCUCUUCCACUAUUAUCAAAUGUGGGAUACAACAAGUUCUUCUCUAGAUAGCACUAGAGGAUCUCAUACAUCAAGAUUUCUGAAUCUUGGAUGAACACAAUAAGAUUUGCGGCUCAAGAACUAGAGAUUGGAACAAUCUCACGAAAGAUGGUGAAACCGGAGCUUGAAGGAGACAAGGUAGUGGAUCUAGACCAUCACAACCUUGGGGAGGAGCUCCCUUGCUUCUUCCUUCAAUCUUCCUCUUCUUCCCUUGCUCUCUUGGUUUUCUCUCUUCUUCUCCCUUGGAGGAUGAACUGAUCUUCAUCACUCUUGGUGGUGGCUGCUGGAUGGAGAGUAAAGCAUCCCAUCCACUUAUGUGCAAAGACCAAAAUGACCCUAGGUCAUAACCCUAAUGGGUAGUGGGCUUCUGCACCUCUUUGGGCUGCCUAAAUGGCCUCAAGUGGUCAUCUCCUCACAGCCCGCAUGAGGAGGAUAUCCCAACACGUUGUUGUUCGUCGAAGGAGACAUGAGCCAUGUGGGGUAGUCGAUCUCGGCGGAAGUAGGAGACCUCAUCGCCAUCGUCAUCACCGGGCAGAGGAUCUUGGCAGGAGGAAGGGAGUGGAGUCGCCGACGGAGAGAGAAGCGCUUGGCCGGAGGGGCAGGGGAAGCUCGGGAGGAUCGAGUCUAUGUCGUUGCUUCUGGAGGAUUUCCUUCCCAGCAUAAAGAGAUCAGGGAAACGCUCCCAGGGAAGGGCCGUUGAAAGGGUAGAGGUCCCUCCCGACAGUGGGCUACCAAAUGGCGCCGUGGGCUGCCCCGGGUGAAGUUGGCCCAUGUCUUCUUUCCCAGGGAUAAGGCCAGGAUCCACUGAUGUAGGAGAUAUGCCCUAGAGGCAAUAAUAAAUGAUAUUAUUUAUCUCCGAGUUCAGAAUUAUGUUUAUGUUCCAUGCUAUAACUGCUAUGGUUCUCGAGUCUGCAAUAACCACGAGGCUCGGAGGAAGACUCAUAUGCACGUGUGGAAUAAUAAACGGUAAAAUGUAUUCCUAGUCUGGCCUCUAAGACUAGCUCAAGUGUUGCAUGAUGGUUAUGUUUUCCUGAUCAUGGGCAUGUCUAUGUCAGCAACCUUGAGGGCAUAAUGUUAAGAGAACAUUUGUGUUGAAUCGACCCGGCAUGAUGUUAUGCUAUGAGAUUCAUUCGUCACAAGUUUAUUGGUACAUAACACAGAGAUGGUUAACGUUUGCAUGAUUCCUUAGACCAUGAGAGUAUCGAGUUUCUUCAUGCUUGCUUCAUGAACUUUGGGGUUUGUUAAACGUCAUCCGUAAUUGGGUGGCUAUUACGGCGGCUUACGGGUUCAUGGAAAAGUGUGUCAAGUAACUUGAUAGCUCAGGAUUGGGAUUUGCUCCUCCGACGAUGGAGAGAUAUCUCUGGGCCCUCUCGGUGUUACGGUAUCCAUCAUCGUCUGGCCAGACACUUUGUGAUUUGAUCACGGGGAUGCCGGAACACGAUAACGAGAAAAGAGAACAAUACCGGUAACGAGGUAACUAGCAUAGUGGACAAGUUGUUGAUCCACGGGAAUGCCAACAUGUCUCACCUCGGGUAUUUGUAACAUAUCGCGAAGCAACAGGAAUAGCACACGGCAACUGGAGGUUCACUCGAAUAUUUAUUCGUGUGGGUAUAGGGGUCAAUAUGGGUGUCCACGGCUCCGAUGUUGAUCAUUGAUCGGAAGGGGUUCCGGGUCAUGUCUAUACUUCACCGAACCUAUAGGGUCACACGCUUAAGGGUCAUCUAUCUGCUGAAUACUAGACAGGGAGUCUGAGAGAAAAUCACCGAAAAAGUUUCGGACACCGAAAAGUUUCGGACAGCGGAAUCGUACCGCAGAGAGAGGUCAUCAGAUAAGUUUCGAUGAUACCGAAAAGUUGUUUCGGGAUACACCAUUAAGUCAAAUUGGUUUCGGCACAUGCCUGAUAAUUCUUGGAGGAUGCCAGAAUCAUUCUGGAAGCUUUUUGGAAUUUUCUGAGAUAAAAACCGGAAAUGUUCCGGAGCUGCCGGAGCCACUUCAGAUGUGUUUCGCAGAUGAAAAUCACUAAAACCGGAAUUGUUUCGGAACGCGUUGAAAAUCAUUUUAGUGGGUACUGGAAAUGUUCUUAGCCCACAUAAAUAUUUUCAGUUCGAUCAGACGCUGAAAAAUGUCGUCGUGAAUAGUGAAAAUCAGCUUUAUGGUUACUUUAUGGAAAGCCACCUUUUGGGGCUUUGCUCCAAAAGAUCUUGGGGAUGACAUGGAUGGAUAGGAGCCAUUUUUUGGGCCCCUCAUGGGGGUGUGGCUGGCCACAUGGGGUAUCCCCCCUUGGGGACCCUCUUGUUCCUUGGUUUCACUCCUAGGUCCUUGUGGAAGGACUUCAUUCAUGUGCAUUUUGGGUUUUUUGUGAAACUACCCUACCCCCUUGGGAUUUCCUAUAAAUAGAGGUGGAGGGGCAGCCCUCCACACUCAUCCCUUGCUCUCAUACACAUGCCAUGCAUUAUCUGGCUUCUUCUCUCCCUCCCACGAAAAGAGUUUCGUAGAGCCGUAAGGCUGUCUGGGUUCCGGCGGGAACUAGUUCUGGACGGCGAAGCCCUGCCGGAUAGAUGACACCGUAUGUGUGCAACUCUGUAGAGAGAUUGUAGUUUCGGUCUUAGUUCGUGAGUGCCUCCCGAAGGGCUGUCCGUGUGACCGUCCGAGUUUCGAAGGUCCUCCCGAAGGGCUGUCCGAGUGACCGUUCGAGUUUCGAAGGUCCUCCCGAAGGGCUGUCCGCGACACCGUCCGGGGGGCUGUUCGACCGCCUCCUGGAGGGCUGUCUGAGGAGCAGAUGAGGGUAUACAUCCUCGCGGUUGGGAGGUUGUAAAUCCUAGCUGCGGGGAUCUGCACCGCCGAUCGUCAUCGACUCUACUUCCCGCUGCGCUACGAGUCGGUAACGAAAAAGAUCAAACCAUGUAUGCAGUCUCCAUAGUGGUCCUGGGCUGGUGUGUAGGUCGGAAAAUUUUUGUUUUCUGCUGCGUUACCCUACAGUGGCAUCAAGAGCCGUGCUAUGCGUAGAUGCAGGUUUCGAUCUAGAAUACAUGGAGAUGUAUGGGUAUUGCAUAAUAUAAUUAGGUAGUAGAUGAGAUCUAUUGCUGAAAAUUAUUUAUGCGGGUGACAGAUGAAAUCUGUUACCCGAGGUUCUUGUUGCUUCCCUAGAAUUUGCGUUUGCUCAAUCUCGAGACAGCAUGGUGGAAUUUGACAAAGUUCUGGCAAUCCGUGAUCCUGAUUGAUCAUGGAAGUGCUAUCAGUUCUUUGGGUUCUGCCAUAGUCAAAAGAAAGAUGAAAUUCGCAGAUGAAAGGGCAUUGCAGAUAUGAUCUGCACGGGGGUCAUGCGUAUGACGAAGUUUAGUAUGGGGCUCGAGAUUUAAUUAUCCCGUGUUUCAUACACCCCGAGAUGUUAAUCUAGCAACCUGAAUAAUCAUACUUGAUGAUAAAACGUUGGUAGCUGCGGUUUAAGUCAAAACCUUAGAAGCCACGUAAAAUAAAAUUUUGCAUAAACCUAUUAGAGGCGUCUAACUUGGUUUUGCAGGAUGUGCAUGUGAUGUGGUAUAGCAGUGCUCAUACUAAUUCGAUUAUGUAUGAGAUGACUAUAUGAUGUAAUUUGAUUAACAUGACCUGUGUGUCAUGAUUCGGCAUGAUGGCUGGAGCCAUAUGAUUGCAUUUUAAUGACCUGCGUGUCAACCUUGUUGUAAUGCAUUAUUUUGUUAGCUAUAGAAAUAGCAAUAUUAUCUGGUGCAUCGACAAGGUGGUGGCAAUCUUCGUGAAGGUGACCACCAACGCGAAUGCCGAAGACGAAGAAAUGAAAUACUUCUCCGUCAGAAAGGGCUAUACCAUAUCAUGCUAUUAUGAAUUGCCUGAGAUGUUUAUCCCUUAUGAUGCACCCUUCUUGAUUGCGCGGUAGUCGCUUUUAUUAGGGUGAUCUCUCACUUAAAAUAUCAAGUAGUUAGUGUUCUCCCAAGUGUAGCACCGUCACGGCACCUAUCUUUUCGGGGUGCGCCAUGGAUGCAUGGGUACGAACGAUUAGAGAAGUGUGAGGCGGGUGAGGUCAGACCUCGCAACAAGAUCACUUGGUUGUCUUGACGUUCAUGGCAGGAUCGUCCUGAGCUCGGAACACACGCAUCGAAAGAUGAGCAAGAGUCACAUAGAGAUGUGAUCGGCAAGUUGGCCUACCGAUUAAAAUUCCCGUUAUGAGAUGAUGAUUCUAUGGCGAUGAAUUGAAGUCUGGAUCUUGUAUCACUCAAAAUUAAUUGUGAGAGAUAUUGAUUUGAGUGGGAGCGCACUGUUGAAUUAACAUGUUUAAAUUCUCAGUGCAAUUAAUUAUGAACACUGUCUAAGUGUUUCUUGCAUAAUAGUUGUAGAAUAAUGGCUCGCAUUUCCACCUUCCCUAUUAAAAUUGAAUAGCUGUUAAAUAUCUGGUUAAAACUUUACGAUUGGUAACGUAAUAUGAGGAUUGUCCUCAAAAGUGCCGAGAAGGACUUUGUCCUAUCGCAUGCUUUCCGUAUCCUCCCGCUAAUGUUAUGGAUCAUGUGACUCUCGUCCUUCGAUCCAAAAGCUAGAAUUCUGUUACGGUCAAGUGGAAUAUGGUUGCUUCCAUGAAACCCAGACUUCGAAAGUUGGGUUAGUUAUAUGAUAUUCAUGGAACUGAAAAUUAUUUUCAGAUACAAACAAAGCAAUGUUUGUUUGCAAGUAUUAGUAAAAGUGUUUACUAUGCAUUUGACUGUUGGGAAAGGGAUCCAGAAGAACGCCUGUCAUAUAAUGAAAGGUGAAUAAAACAACAACUUAAAGAGAAAGGAAGUGUCCAAAGGGUGUUAGUAUGACUUACACGCCUAGGAAGUCCGGGGCUAAUGCCACUCUUAAGUUGGGUGCUUCUUCUGAGAGUAGGAGAAAUACUAAAAGUUAAACUGUUAGAAGUAUAAAGGCAAAAGGAAAGAAGACUGGAAUAUCCAGCUCAUGUAUGAAUGUCAUACAAGUUUUUGAUGUAUAGAAGGCUGGUCAAAGAUAUAGUUCUUGCGAAUUAUGGUUAAACAUGUUAAUCACUAAUUCUUGGGUAUUGUGAGUUCAUCACAAAAUUGCCCGCUCGAUUGCAUUCUGUUGCAACUCGAUGUAAGAACUACUAUGGUCUGAAAGACUAGCUAGAAAUGAGGUUAAGGUAUACACAGGGAACAUAGUAAAUGUUACUAUACCUUCCAUCGGUGUAUUGCCGUCUGUAUUUAUUUUCAUAAUUCAUUUAGAGUUUUACAAACUCUAUCCCAUUGCAUAAGGUAUCUUGCAAGAAGGUUGUUCAUAAGAGAACUUUUUAUGUUCGAUGUUAUGAAUAACACAAGGGCCAUACUUUCAUUAUGAAUGAGAUGUAUGUUAUGAAUAUUGAUAAUAAUACAAUACCUCUGGGUUUACUUUCAUAAUUCAUUUUAGAGUUUCAUACACUCUAGCCCAUUGCACAAUGUUUGUUGCAAAAGAGUUGUUCAUAAAAACAACAAUUGUUGUUAAGUAUUAUGAAUAACAUGAAGGGCCAUGCUUCCAUCCAAGAUGGCAUGUAUGUUAUGAAUAUUGAUGGUAAUAUGAUACAUCCAUAACACUGACGCUAAAUGUCGCAAGACUAAAAGAAUACCACACAAGUGUGGCACUACAUUUGGUCACAUUGGAGAAACCGCAUGGAAAAUUCCAUUAUGAUGGAUUUUGAAGUCUUCUUGAUGUUGAAUCAUCUGACACUUGCAACUUUCCUCCGAAAAGUGAAGUGACUAAAAUACCGUUCACAGGCCAUAAGGAACGACAACAAACUUAUUAGUGAUCAUACAUUUGAUGUGUGUAGUCCGAUAAGUGUUGUUAGUGGUGGAUUUAUUUAUCUUCAGAAAUGACUCAAGUAGAUAUAUGGAUAUUUACUUGAUGAGACGUAAGUCUGGAUCUUUUGAAAUCAUUCGAAAGGUUCUCAAAAAUGAAGUAGAAGUUAUUGUAACAAGAAAAUUAUGUUUCUGCAAUUUGAUUGCACAAAGGAAUAUUUGAGUUACAUGUUUAGCGAAUGUCUGAUGAGUUGUGAAAGGGGUUUCAUAACUUGCACCUCCCGGAACACCACUGCAAGUGGAAAGUCUGUGGAGAUGUAAUCAAACCAUUUAUGACAUGGUAAGGUGAAAGAUGACAUAAAUAAAUUUGCCAUUAUCCCUUUUAAAGUGAUGCUUUAGAGACUGCGGAUUUUACACUGAAAAGAGCUACAUCGGGUCUGUUGAAAUGAAGCCAUGGUAUGGUACGCCCAACCAUGUUAUAUCUUUUCUUAACAUUUGGAAUAUGGGGCUUGUGUAAAAGGUUACAAACCUAUUCCAAAUCAGACAAGUGCUACUUUGUAGGUUAUACCAAAAUGUUGGUUAUUCCUCCCUCACUAUACCGAGGCAAAUAGUUUUGCCGCGAAACGGUGUGCUUUUAAAGAGAAUGGUUCUUUCAAAAAGGUGAGUGGGAGAAUAGUGCAACUCGACGAGAUAAACAGUAUCUACGUCAUCAGAUCAAAGGAAAGAGACCUUGGAAGUAAUUCCAGAGUUUCCUACUGCGACUGAUACGGAAGUCUCUACAAUAAAAUGUAUGAACUUCGGUCGAACUUGCAGCUGAACCACGUAGGCAAGGCUCGUGCAAACCUCUCAGGUGCGCAAACGAGAUAUUGUUGUUAGACAACAUUAUACCUACGAUACACAAGGAAGCGUUGAUGGGCCCUGACUCCGGAAUUGGCUAAAUGCCAAUACAACCCAAGUUAGUUUCCAUAUAAGUGAUUCAAGAUUAAAACCUUGAUACACCUUUCGGAAGACUUAGAGUCUAACGAAUAUAUGGAACUUAAAACUGAUAUGGAUAAAAAUGUUUUAUCCAUAAAGCUCGACUUGUUGAAAUAACAAGUUCAAGAGUUGACUACGAUGAGGUUGUUUUCAUCGUAGCGAUGCUUAAAGUCGGUUCGGGUUGAACUAGCAAUUAAUACAUAUUUCAAUCAUGAGAUAUGAAACAUGGAUGAUAAAAGGAUUUCCAUCUGAUGGAAAUGAAAGCUAGGACUUGUAUAUGAUACAGUCCAAAGUAAUUUGUCGAUCCAGAGGAUGCUAGUAGGUAUGCAAACUUCAGAGUUCCAACAAUGGACAGAAGAGAGCAAAAUGGAGUUGGAAUCUUCGUGUUUUGAUGAAAUGGUCAAAGGGGUUUUGACUUCAUCAAUGGGUAACAAAGAUGCUUGUAAUUCAAGAAAGUAAGUGGGAGCGUAUAAUAUUUCUAAAAACCUUAUGUGCUUGGCACAUUGGUAAUUGGAAAUAAAUUUCUUGACACGAAUUAGGACUUCAUUUGAAAAUAGUUUUUCGAUGAAGUGCUUAGGCUAAAUAGCCUCAAUAUUAGGCAUGAUGAUCUAUGGAGAUAGAUUUACCUAAUGGGGCUAAGCAAUGAAUGCAUAUUGACAAGAUGCUAAAACCUUUUAGCAUUUAAAACGCCAAGGAGUGAUUCUUGCCAAAGUCACAUGGAAGGAGUUUUUGCAAGACUCGGUGUCCCAAAACACUGAUGAGUAAAAUACAUGAUGCAGAUUCCACACACUUUUGUGUUUGGAUUAAUCAUGUAUUCCAUGGUAUGUAAAACAACCAGAUAUGUCCGAUACUCCCAAGGUGUUGCGAGUAUGGAUACUAAAGUGAUCAAAGUACUGAUCGUGGGACAACAGUGAAAAAUGUCAUUGAGUACUAGAGUAAGUACUGAUGAUAUGUUUUCUUGCAAGCGGAGAUCAUGAAGAGUUCGUUGUAAAAUGUUACAUCGAUAGUCUUCAUCUUUUCACUGUGCGAUUUUUGAUUUAAGUUAAGGGUUUUGUGUAACACACAAUGUGGUGGCACAGUUAGUUGGAAUUUGUUCAAACUAGUUACUGUGGCGAAUUCUAUAACAAGGGCUAAGUAUGUUGACGCUUUAGAAGCCACAAAGAAGAUGUUGAAUCAUAUAGUUCAUUCAUGAACUUAGUAUAGUUCCAAGAUGGCUUUUGACAAUGGGACACUACUGCAGGUAGUUGCUCCAAAACUCAGUCUAAGGAAUCCAGGUUCGACCUGUGAUUCACAUACAUACAAAGCCAAGUCCACACAAAAUAUGAAUUUUGUGAAAACGUGAAAACACGAGGACAUGCAAAGAUACACACGGAACUGAAGUCGUCAGAUCCGUUGGACAUCAGGCUAUACCACAAGCGGAGCAUAUUUACACCGGUGUGCCACAGGUGUAAAGUGCAUUGGCAUUAACUAGAUUAUUGACUCUAGUGCAAGUGGGAGUCUGUAGGAGAUAUGCCCUAGAGGCAAUAAUAAAUGAUAUUAUUUAUCUCCGAGUUCAGAAUUAUGUUUAUGUUCCAUGCUAUAACUGCUAUGGUUCUCGAGUCUGCAAUAACCACGAGGCUCGGAGGAAGACUCAUAUGCACGUGUGGAAUAAUAAACGGUAAAAUGUAUUCCUAGUCUGGCCUCUAAGACUAGCUCAAGUGUUGCAUGAUGGUUAUGUUUUCCUGAUCAUGGGCAUGUCUAUGUCAGCAACCUUGAGGGCAUAAUGUUAAGAGAAUAUUUGUGUUGAAUCGACCCGGCAUGAUGUUAUGCUAUGAGAUUCAUUCGUCACAAGUUUAUUGGUACAUAACACAGAGAUGGUUAACGUUUGCAUGAUUCCUUAGACCAUGAGAGUAUCGAGUUUCUUCAUGCUUGCUUCAUGAACUUUGGGGUUUGUUAAACGUCAUCCGUAAAUGGGUGGCUAUUACGGCGGCUUACGGGUUCAUGGAAAAGUGUGUCAAGUAACUUGAUAGCUCAAGAUUGGGAUUUGCUCCUCCGACGAUGGAGAGAUAUCUCUAGGCCCUCUCGGUGUUACGGUAUCCAUCAUCGUCUGGCCAGACACUUUGUGAUUUUAUCACGGGGAUGCCGGAACACGAUAACGAGAAAAGAGAACAAUACCGGUAGCGAGGUAACUAGCAUAGUGGACAAGUUGUUGAUCGACGGGAAUGCCAACAUGUCUCACCUCGGGUAUUUGUAACAUAUCGCGAAGCAACAGGAAUAGCACACGGCAACUGGAGGUUCACUCGAAUAUUUAUUCGUGUGGGUAUAGGGGUCAAUAUGGGUGUCCACGGCUCCGAUGUUGAUCAUUGAUCGGAAGGGGUUCCGGGUCAUGUCUAUACUUCACCGAACCUAUAGGGUCACACGCUUAAGGGUCAUCUAUCUGCUGAAUACUAGACAGGGAGUCUGAGAGAAAAUCACCGAAAAAGUUUCGGACACCGAAAAGUUUCGGACAGCGGAAUCGUAUCGCAGAGAGAGGUCAUCGGAUAAGUUGGGAUGAUACCGAAAAGUUGUUUCGGGAUACACCAUUAAGUCAAAUUGGUUUCGGCACAUGCCUGAUAAUUCUUGGAGGAUGCCAGAAUCAUUCUGGAAGCUUUUUGGAAUUUUCUGAGAUAAAAACCGGAAAUGUUCCGGAGCUGCCGGAGCCACUUCAGAUGCGUUUCGCAGAUGAAAAUCACUAAAACCGGAAUUGUUUCGGAACGCGUUGAAAAUCAUUUUAGUGGGUACUGGAAAUGUUCUUAGCCCACAUAAAUAUUUUCAGUUCGAUCAGACGCUGAAAAAUGUCGUCGUGAAUAGUGAAAAUCAGCUUUAUGGUUACUUUAUGGAAAGCCACCUUUUGGGGCUUUGCUCCAAAAGAUCUUGGGGAUGACAUGGAUGGAUAGGAGCCAUUUUUUGGGCCCCUCAUGGGGGUGUGGCUGGCCACAUGGGGUAUCCCCCCUUGGGGACCCUCUUGUUCCUUGGUUUCACUCCUAGGUCCUUGUGGAAGGACUUCAUUCAUGUGCAUUUUGGGUUUUUUGUGAAACUACCCUACCCCCUUGGGAUUUCCUAUAAAUAGAGGUGGAGGGGCAGCCCUCCACACUCAUCCCUUGCUCUCAUACACAUGCCAUGCAUUAUCUGGCUUCUUCUCUCCCUCCCACGAAAAGAGUUUCGUAGAGCCGUAAGGCUGUCUGGGUUCCGGCGGGAACUAGUUCUGGACGGCGAAGCCCUGCCGGAUAGAUGACACCGUAUGUGUGCAACUCUGUAGAGAGAUUGUAGUUUCGGUCUUAGUUCGUGAGUGCCUCCCGAAGGGCUGUCCGUGUGACCGUCCGAGUUUCGAAGGUCCUCCCGAAGGGCUGUCCGAGUGACCGUUCGAGUUUCGAAGGUCCUCCCGAAGGGCUGUCCGCGACACCGUCCGGGGGGCUGUUCGACCGCCUCCUGGAGGGCUGUCUGAGGAGCAGAUGAGGGUAUACAUCCUCGCGGUUGGGAGGUUGUAAAUCCUAGCUGCGGGGAUCUGCACCGCCGAUCGUCAUCGACUCUACUUCCCGCUGCGCUACGAGUCGGUAACGAAAAAGAUCAAACCAUGUAUGCAGUCUCCAUAGUGGUCCUGGGCUGGUGUGUAGGUCGGAAAAUUUUUGUUUUCUGCUGCGUUACCCUACAACUGAAACCAAAUGACUCCUUGGGAGAGCUUAUUUGGCGGUCUGCAGCAGCAGAUGAUCAUAGGAUCCCCAUAUCAGGCUUACUAGAACAUUGCAGUGUUCCUAAUAAAUAUUCAGAAAUUUUGUGAGACCAUAUAUACACGGUAUAUAAUGCACCCUAAAAUUUCUGAUAAUCUGUGAGCACAUAUGCAAUAUGCAUGUACUACUUAGCGAAAACGCAACACAGGAAAAAAUGCAUACUAGUAAAGUUGGACUCUUGAUUUGGCCCAUUAUCAUCACUAUUUUUUUUCUAGGGCUAUAGGCUGAACUUUGAAUUGUUUUUUCAAGAAAUUAUACAUAUUUUUGCAUCUACGUUAUGUGAAUUUUCCAGAAAUUUAAGAAAGUUGUACAGUCUGUAGAAACCAGAUACUCCGGGUAAAUUCUCCGUGUGCGCCAGAGCUUCUCAGGUCCACAACCCAAGCUGUUCUCGGCAUCCGCCUACAGUGAGUCAAAAUGGGAAUGGGCCGACCCAGCCCUGGCCCCGUGGCCCCAAGGUCAAAAUAUGAGGCCACGGGCCGGCCCAUUUUAUCAGAAUUUUGUGGCCCCAUUGACCCAUUGGGUACAUGAGGCCGACACAGAAUUUAGCAAAUGUUUAGUAAAAUGGCAAGAUCAUGAGACUACAUGUUUGAAAGAGCAUCAAGCUAAAUACCUCAAUCCAAUAGAUUCGAACAAGAUCAAAAGAUUACAAGUUUCAAAGAACGUCAAGCUAAUGACCUCAAUCCAACAGACUCAUACAAGAUCAAAAUAUUACAGGUUCAACAUGCUAAUCUUUUCACAUCCAGUAGGUUAUAGAGAAAGCUGACAUAUCUUUGCUUCACCAUCUGCUUGAGGUUUAACAUCAAUUGCUCCAACAAGCAUCAGUCCUCGAUAUCUGUAUUUACAAAGAAAUGUUACAAGAGUAAUUCUGUGCACAUCAACUAAAUAGUAUAUUUAUCCAUCAAAAAAACUAAAUAAUAUAUUUAUGAACAGAGGAAUAUGCUUAGUAGCAAAUGCGUGUUCCAGAAAACCAAUUCAUGAUCAGGUUUGCAAGAAAAUACACUUCUAAAUAUCCAUUAUACACUACCCGUCAUCCACUCCGCAACAUAUUCUAAUCAAGAUUUAGUUAGCAAUGCAUAUUUUUAAUAUAGUUUGGCGAUGAAAAAAAUGAAUCUGAACUACACAUUCAUAUCUGAGAGAAAAAAGAAAUAUAUAUUAGAGAUCAACUAUAACUUGGGGAAACCAAAACUAAAAGCACUACAAAGUCAACACCAAUGAUUAAAUAGAAUUUAUGGCUACACAAACCGUUGAAGAUAGUUCUAAACCUAGGCCAAAACGAACUGGUGCAGUUCUGUGUGUAAAACACUAUAUAUUCAUCUACAUGUUUGGGCUGCAUCUUGCAAAUAGUUCCCUGGAACAAACUGUAGAUAUGAAAUCCCUCUUUAAAAAGCAGACAUCAUACUUUAAGUGUACUUUCAUAUACAUGGCACUACAUACAUCAGAAAGUUUCUCAUACCUUGUAAGUCUAGUAAAAUGUCAUGAACUGAAGCCAAGCUACGUUGAGUAUUAGCUGCAGAAAAAAAAAAGAAACUUGUAAACUUGAAGUAUUGAUAAGAAACAAAGAAGAAACUUGUGUUGUAUGGCUUUACCGGUGGCCCUUAUCCAAUCUUGUAAGCAAACAAGAGCUUCAAGUGUCGUUGCGGUCAUUCGACUUCGAAAAUCUGAUAGGACUCUCUCCCCUGUGCUGAAGGCGGACUCGGAUGCCACCGCAGAGGCAGGAGCCGCCAAGAUAUCUACUGCCAUGCGACUCAGCGUUGGGUAUUCACCUGAGUUCGUCUGCCACCAUGCAAGGAUAUUGAAUUGAUCACUUCGACGGAUGGGUACCUUUGACAAGUACGAAUCAAGUUCAGUAGAAUCCAAAUUUGUUGAUCGAGCAGUGAGGGUGACAUGUUGGUCCCAAUCAGCCAUAGGAUCUUCACCACUUAUAGCCAUGUCAUCAUCACCUCCUUGUGACAUGGGAUCUGAGCCAUUGUCAUUCAAUUGGAGGUAUUCCUUGAACAACCCUUGGAACACAUUUUUUUAUUUUAGCAAUCAUUGCUGCAGCUACGUUCCCAAACUCUAGGCCAAAUCGGAACUCAAUAUAUUUCAACUUGAAUUGUGGGUCCAAAAUCACUGGAAUACAAAGGCUCAACCAUGUCAUCUUCCAGUACCUUCUGAAUUUUCUCUUCAUAUAUUUGACUGUUGUACCCAUCUCAGAAUCCUCUUCAUAAUGUUGUUGCUCUAAGGUCAGCUUCACUUUUCACAUUUCAUGGAAAUACAAAUUAGCAGUUGGAUAUUUUGUGCCCGAUAUCACAUUAGUGGCUUCAUAAAAUGCCUUCAGUAGCCUGCAAACAUCUUCGGCAUUUUCCCAAUCCUCAAAAGAUGGCUUGAAGGUAUAUUGUUUAUCGUGAAUGGCCAAAGAGUCAAACACUCCGCGAUACUCCUUCGCUAUAUCAAUCAUCAUGUAGGUUGAGUUCCAGCGAGUUGGAACUUCAAGACUUGGAGUUCUCCCACAUGAUACACCAUGCUGCGCAACGAUUUCUUGAAAUUUUUCCUUUCGACUUGGUGAGCUUCGAAUAUAUUUGACACUUUCACGCAUCAUGUUGAUCACUGGACCAAGGAAGUUCAAUCCUGCUUGACAUAUCAGAUUUAUGACAUGGGCAGCACAACGUUGGUGAAACAACUUGCCACUACCAGGUAACAUCUUCUUAAGCAGGAGAUGUGCCUUCAAUAGCUUCAUCAUUGCACCAUUGUUUGAUGCAUUGUCUAGCGUCACAGCAAAGAGAUUAUCUUCAAUGUUCCACUCUCUUAUGAAAUUCACCAUGACGUUGAACAUUGCAGCUCCUGUGUGCGGCGUCUCCAUAGCUGCGAAUUUCACUAUCCUCUUCUGCGGCUUCCACUCCUCAUCAAUGAAGUGAGCUGUGAUGCAAAUGUACCCCACUGUCUGAUUUGAUGUCCACAGAUCCGUAGUCAAAGAAAUCUUGGAUUUGGAGUUUUGGAACAUCCUUUGCAGAAUUCUCUUCUCUUCCUUAAAUGCUUUCAUGCAGUCCUCCUUCACUGUUUUUCUACAUAUCAUCUUGAAGCUAGGAUUUAGACUAGAGACAAAUCUUCUAAAUCCAUCGUACUCCACCAAUGAGAAUGCCAAUUCAUGCAACACAAUCAUCCUCAUUAGCUCUCGGCGUGCUAAUGCCUGAUUAAAUGUCCAGAGCCCCAUUGCAACUCCAUCAGGACUCACGAUAGAAGCACUCAGCUGUCCAGAAACUCUAAGAACCUUCUUCCUUUCCCUGCAUCUCUUCAAAUGUUUGCGCAAUGAACUUGUUCCAUGUUUACGCUCAGCACAAAUAUUCCUUGCACAGUGUUUGCACUCAGCAGCUACAACUAUGCCAUCAACACGGAUAGGCUCAUAUUCUUUCCACACUUUAGACAAAAACUUUCUUCCCGGUUCAGAAAAUGAACCCAUGUCAAUGAUCUCAACCCCUCCCUCUUCAUCCACAUUAUCUCCCUCUUCUUCUUCUUCUUCUUCUUCUUCUUCUUCUUCUUCUUCUUCUUCUUCUUCUUCAUCAUCAUCAUAUUCUUCUUCAUCAUCCUCAUCUUCUUCUCCUUCCUCUUCUUCUUCAUAGUCAACAUCUUCUUCAUCAGCCUCAUCUUCUUCACAAUCAACCAUACGAGUGUCUUGUGAACGUCCUGCUGAGCAAAGGACACGAGUGUUAACAUUGCAAUUACGAGUAUUUUUUUAUUUUAGCAAUCAUUAAUUUGCAUCCCUAGAAAAAGAAAGAUUACCAAUACUCACCAUGAUAAGCUCUACAAAUGUUUAUCGAAGAAGGAGACACCCCUGGGGGUGGUUGAGCCCUUCUCAUUGUCGCACCGGAUAUCAACGAUGAACCACCACUUUGGUAUGCCUCAUGGUCCCCUUCUUCCUCUUCCAUUUUUCUGACCAGAGGGAAAUAUAGGAACAUUAGAGAGCAUUAACUUUCAAAAUCAACAGCAGAUGUAAUACCCAAAUUUCAUUUACUUGUACUAGUGUAGGACAACCAACAAAUUUUGUAUAUGAACUUAACAGAAUUUGGUUUGAGAAUCCAAACACUUAGGCCUCCUUUGGUUCAUAGGAUAGGAAUUUCAUAGGAAUAGGAAAAGUAUAGGAAAUGAGGUGGCAUGCAUCUGAAAUCCUAUGAAUGCUCAGACUAUAGGAAUAGGAAACUAAAUGUCAUUUGGUUCAGGGGAUAGGAACACACAUAGGAAACAUAAAGAAAUAAUGUCAUUUGGUUUAUGGUUAAUAAUGUUAACAAUUAUACUCCCUCUGUAAAGAAAUAUAAAAGCGUUUAGAACACUACUUUAGUGAUCUAAAAACUCUUAUAUUUCUUUACGGAGGAAGUAUAUACAAAGUGCAAAUAUAGACCCUGCCAGCAUAGUAUAUUAUCAUGUAACUGGAGUAUGAACUGAGCAACUAGUGCAGGCAAUCAUCAACUCAUCACACGGGCUAGUGCAGGCAAUUAAAAUACAAAUUGGCUGCUAGUGCAUGGAGCCUGAAUACACAAUAGCAUACUACUCCGUAUGAUGGAUCCAGGGAGAGAAGGCAAGAUGGAUCCAGAUAGUGCAGGCAAUUAAAAUACAAGAUGGAUCAAGAUGGAUCCAGGGACUGGACACAGAUUUGAUUCAACUUUUUUAUUUCUUUUCCCAUCCUUGUCUGCACGCGAGUUAGCGAAAAAUGCAGGGAACAGUUAUCCGCGCGCAUGUCGUUCGCCAUAGGAAAUUUUCCAUCAGCUUGGACCUAAUGUUUCUGAUCCUGUGAAAUCUAGUUCAUACUUGUUCAUGUACUUGUUCAUAUAAAACAUUUCCAAUCAAAUAUGAUCUAGUUACUUGUUCAUGUACACUGACUGAAUGACAGGGACCAACACCGUAGAACUACUACAGAACCAACACUGAAAGUAAGGCAUGACCUGGGAGUACACUGACUGAAUGAAUGACAGGGACCAACACCGACUGAAUGACUGAUCCCAUGGCUACAAAGUACACUGACCGAAAGUAGCAGAAUCAAUACUGAAACAAUUGCAGACAACACUGAUCAAGAACCAAAACAAGACCAGUGCUUGCAUUGCAGCUGCGCUGGGACAGGGAGGAAGCCGGCAAGAGUCUCACCUGCGAGAUGAUGACGGCGACCGGAACGGCGAGGUAGACGGUGGACGGGACCGCAGGUCAGCGAGCUCGACGGCGACCAAUACGACGAACGAGAGGCGGGAGGAACGCCGGCGGCAGCAGGCCAGCAGAGAUGUUCAGGGGCAGCCGGCGGCGGCAGAGAUGGUCGGGGGCGGCUGGUAGAGAAGGUCAGGGGAGGCCGAGGGCGGCAAAGAUGGCCAGCAGCUGCCGGCGGCGGCAGAAAUCGUCGGGAGCAGCCUACAGAGAUCGUGGUGGGCGGCGGCAGAGAUGGACUAGGGCAGCGCGAUCAGACGGCUGGGUCGACCCGUCUGGUCCAUCGGGUCACACGGUGCCGGCUCCACUGACCCAUUUUAUGAUUCGAGGCCAACCCACCUGGCCCAUUGGCCUCGAGAUUUCGGGCCGGGUCAAUGACCCAGCGGGCCGACCCGACCCAUUCCCAUUUUGAACAGUGAGCUAUCAUCAACUUUCUCAGGGUAGGUAUGCAUACAGUAAUUGUUUGUUCUCAUAAAUAUAACUUCAGGCAACUCUAGAGUUUCCGCACUGCCAAUACAGCUAACAGUCGUUGGCACCAACACGCUGGUGAUUGAUUAUUCACACCCAUAAUUAGAAAACAAAACCCCGCAAAAUGACGUGCAUCUCAUAUAUAAAUCAUCCUGCCGCCGCCUCAUCAGUAGGUGUAGCCCUUCUGGAACAUGCCCUUCUUGGCCUCGUCGCUCUCGCCCUCGCCGGUGUAGCUGCCGAGCUGCGCCAACGAGUUGGCCUUGGCGCGGACCAGCAGGGCCUUCUGCGCCGCCUCGAUGUUCUCGGGCUGCCCCUGCCACGUCUUCAGCACCGAGUUCUGGAGGGCCCGGGCGUACGAGAAGGACACGUGCCACGGGUUGGCGGACUGGUUCAUCGCGUUCAGGUUCAUGGUUGCCUCCAGCUCGGACUGUCCGCCGGA